This 55412-nucleotide long non-coding RNA is filed under the name Brachypodium distachyon (stiff brome). Its description in RNAcentral is "long non-coding RNA (BDIS_LNC003120)". Lineage: Eukaryota; Viridiplantae; Streptophyta; Magnoliopsida; Poales; Poaceae. The record is from RNAcentral.
GGGCAGUCACCUUCCUCACUGGUUCCACCUCCACCCACUUGGAGAACUUGUCGAUGGCCACGAACAAAUAUUCGUAACCGCCAACCGCCCUCGGUAGUUUGCCGACGAUGUCGAGCCCCCAGACCGCGAACAGCCAUGAGGACGGAAUGACAUGUAGGGCCUGCGCCGGCUGGUUACUCUUUUUCGAAUGGAACUGGCACGCUUCGCACGUCCUCACCAGCCGCUCCGCGUCAGCCAGGGCCGUGGGUCAAUAGAAGCCGUGCCGAAACGCCUUGCCGGCUAAAGCCCGGGAGGCCACAUGGUGUGAACAUGUGCCUCGGUGUAUUUCCUCCAACAGUGCGCGCCCUUCAUCCUGCGGCACGCAUAUGAGCUUGAAACCGUUCGCACGCCUGCGGUAGAGGUUCCCAUCCACCACAGUGUAUAUCUUGGCUUGCCGCGCUACUCGCUCCGCGGCGACGUCACCUUCCGGGAGAGCUUCCCCUUUCAAGUAGCGGGUGAUCUCUUCCGCCCAGGGGGGAAUCUCCCUGCCAACGCAUGCCGCAACAUCAGCGGCAUGGACCCCUGCUGCUGCAGGGGUUCUUUCGGUUGCCGGCGGGGCGUCCCCGGCAGCCGGCGGGGGGGUGACUGAAGGAGUCGCUUGCUUCUGACAGAACACCCCCGCCGGAGGCUUCCGGCGCUCUACUGCCAUCUUGGCCAGCUCGUCAGCAGCGAAGUUAUCCUUCCGCUUGACCUGCUCGAAGCGCAAACCCUUGAACUUUCGUUCUAGCUUGCGGACCUCCUCCACGUACGGCGCCAUUUGAGGGCAGUCGUAGUACUUGUUCACCUGGUUGAUCACGAGCUGGGAAUCACCACGAAGAACUAGGCGCUUAAUGUCGAGGGCGACCGCUGCCCGCAACCCAGCAAGCAGGCCCUCAUACUCCACCGUGUUGUUGGUGGAGUUCGCAAAGUCGAGUUGGACAGCGAACCUCAACUGGUCCCCUGUCGGUGACUCGAUGACGACUCAAGCGCCUGCUCCUUGAGGACAGAACUCACCGUCGAAGUAGAGGACCCAAUGGUCCUCAUCCAGCUUGCCGGGCAGGCUGGUCUCCGGUUCACUUUAUUCUACGCCUGUGGACGUCCAUUCCGCAACGAAGUCCGCCAAGGCCGUGCUCUUAAUGCUUUUAGAAGUUGCGAAGUGGAGUUCGAACUCCGACAACUCCAUCCUCCAUUCGACCACUCUCCCUGUGGCUUCACGGUUGGUGAGGGGCCGCUCAAGGCAGAACCCGGACACCACCGUGACGCGGUGCGCCUGAAAGUAGUGGCGCAGCUUGCGGGACGCAAGGAGAAUCCCCAGAAGGAGCUUCUGUACUUGCGGGUACCUCGUUCGCGCGUCGCGCAGCACGUACUAACGAAGUACACCGGGUGCUGCACCAACCGCUUCCGCGGUGCCAAGGGUGCCGACUCGGGGGUGGUCCCCGGGUCCGAGGCAGUUGCCGGGGGCCGCUCAGCCCCCUGCCCCGCAGCCCCAGUCCCCGGGACAUCUUCCUCCCUCUCGGCAACCAGCACCGAGCUAACCACCUGGUCAGUCCCCGCUAGGUAAAGUAGCAGCGACUCGCCCGGCUUGGGGGCGACGAGGACGGGCGGUGACCUCAGGUACUGCUUGAGUUCCCGGAACGCCGCCUCGGCCUCGGGAGUCCAGUUGACUGGACCCUUCUUCUUCAUCACCCUGAAGAAAGGAAGGGCACGCUCACCCAGCCUGGAGAUGAAACGUCCCAGCGCGGCAACACAUCCGUUGAGGCGCUGGACAUCCUUCACCUUGCGGGGGGCCUCCAUCUUCUCGAUGGCUUCUAUCUUGGUCAGGUUGGCCUGUAUCCCUCUAUGUGAAACCAAGAAGCCCAGAAGCUGCCCGGAGUUCACACUGAAGGUGCACUUAUCGGGGUUCAGCUUGAGCUUGAUCCUGCAGAGGUUGUCAAACGUCUCCCGCAGGUCAUCAAUCAGCGAGUGCCCACGCUUUGAUUUGAUGACGAUGUCGUCCAUGUAGGCCUCCGCAUUGCGGCCUAGCUGGGGCCCCAAGCAUUCACGCAGGGCGGGUUGAAAUGUGGAGCCCGCGUUCUUCAACCCGAAAGGCAUGCAUGUAUAACAAUAACAGCCAACCGGGGUGAUAAACGCUGUUUUUUCCUCAUCCUCGAGCGCCAUCUUGAUUUGAUGGUAGCCGGAGAAAGCAUCCAGAAAAUUCAGCAAGUCACAACCAGCGGUAGAAUCAACUAUUUGAUCGAUACGGGGUACAGGGAAGAGAUCCUUGGGGCAUGCGCGAUUAAGAUCAAUAAAAUCUACACACAUGCGAAGCUUAUUCCAUGCUUUAGGCACUACUACAGGGUUAGCCAGCCAAGUAGGGUACAGAACUUCCCUGAUUGCCCGGUAGCCUUGAGCUUGUCCACCUCUUGCUUGAUGAAAUCUUUACGCUCUUGUGCUUGCCGCCGAAUCUUCUGCUUGACGGGGUGCGCAUGCGGGCGCACCACGAGCCAAUGCUCAAUCACCUCCCUGGGGACUCCGGGAAAAUCCGACGGUUCCCAAGCGAACACGUCGGCAUUAUCCUGGAGGAAGGUGAUGAGGGCGCUUUCCUAUUCGGCAGUAAGGUUCGCACCGACGGUAACGGUGCGCUCCUUGUCGCCGGCUUGGAGGGGCAGCUUCAUCACCUUGGCGGCCUCCUCCCGGAGCCCCUGCCCCUUGCUGGGGCGCGAGCUCGAGCCUGCGCCUCCCCCGGCAAGCUCUUGCGGGGUAGCGCAAGCCUUCUUCGUUGCCGGGGCAUCGCCCGGCCAGCAGUCGUCCCCGGCAGCAUCCCCGUCGCCGGUGUCAGCUACGGCAGCGGCCCGGACGACUUUGCCAACGCACCAGGCCGCGUCCUUAAGGUCACACCUGAUGGAGAGGACUCCAUAGACGGACGGCAUCUUCAUCACGCCAUAGGCGCAAUGCGUGGCCGCCAUGAACUUGAUCAGCGCUGGCCGACCAAGGAUCCCGUUGUAGGGCAACGGGGUAUGCGCCACGUCGAACACUACGUGUUCAGUCCUGAACGCUUCCAGAGACCCGAAGGUGACCGGCAGCGUGAUGCGUCCCAGCGGGCGCACGAUCCCGGAGUUCACCCCCCGGAACGGGUCGGUGGGCUUCAGCUGCUCCACCGGCAGCUGGAGCUUUUCCACCCGCCUGGCGGACAUGAGGUUAAGCCCCGCUCCGUUGUCCACCAGCACCUUGGUCACCGUCAUAUUGCUAAUGAUCGGCGAGACGACGAAGGGUAUUAGCCCUGAACCCAGCUGUCGUGCUGGGUGAUCGUCGGCGCUGAAGGUGAUUGGCACGUGUGACCACCUCAGCGGCUGUUGCGGCUCCGCAUCCGGCAAAAGCGCGCACACGCCGCGGGUGAGGCGCUUCACCGCGGUGUGUGCUGAGAGAGCGUAAGCUCCCCCAUGGAUGCAGGCGACACCGCGAGGCUCCUGGAAGCCCGGCUCGUCGCCGCCAGUACAGUCGGACUCGCGCUGCUCCUCAGCGCGUGCCCUGUCGCGUCCCCGGGGUGGGCGUUCCCGCCCAGCGCGAGGCUGACCACGCCCCCCUUGGGGUUCAUCCCUGCCAGCACUGCCGCCGGCAGGCCUCGGCCCCGUCCUGGGGUCGUUCGGGCAGUCUCGGGAGAGAUGCUUGAUGUCGCCACAGUUGAAGCAGGCACCGGCGGCGCGGCGCUCCUCAUGGCGCUGCUCCCGCCGCUGCUUGAUCCCCUACAGAACGUGGCAGUUCUGCGUGUCGUGGGUGGAGUUGCUGUGGAUGGGGCAGCGAGGCGCGUCGCCCUGCUUCCCACCAGACCAGCCACCCGGCGAGGCCUUCUUCACGGGCCUCGCGGCAGGAGCCCCCGAGUCCGCAGCGAGAACUUGCUUCCCGCUGCGCUUGCAGGAACCCUUCUUCUGUGAGCCCUCGCCAGGGCUCGCGGCAGCCUUAGCUGCUAGCUCGGGCGCUAGGCGCCCUUCCUCGGCCAUGGCGCAUUUGUGCGCCAAGGUGUACAGGUCCUGCGUCAUCCGGAUCCGGUGCGUGCUCAGCUUCUCGCGCAUCUUGGGAUCGCGGACGUUGAUGGCGAAGGUGUUGAUGAUGGCGGCCGCCUCCACCUCCGCCUCUAGGAUGGAAUAGGAGAGGUUGGAGAAGCGGUUGACGAAGGCCCGCAACGUCUCUCCCGGCUUCUCCACGAUAGUGUGCAGCUCCGCCAUGGUUCCCGGGCGCUUAUAGCUGCCCUGGAACGCGCUCAUGAACUGCCGCGCAGAUCUGCCCAAGUGGCGAUGGCCCUGGCGGGCAGGUUGAGCAGCCAGGUUUGCGUUGAUUCUUUCAAGACCAUCGAGAACCAAUUGGCCCUGACCUUGUCGUCGGCGCCGAUGGCGCUUGGAACUUACGGGGCCACGUCACCCGCCGCAGCUCGUGUGUGAACGUGGUGCAACCGUCCUCAGGGCCCAUGGGAGCGUCUUCCUGCUCCUGUGGGCGCUGGCGCUCUACCUCGCGCCUGCGCUGGUGCUCCAAGCGCUGACGCAAAUCCUCCUGCUGGCGGGCACUCAAAAUGCCUCGUGCAUCACCCCUCAGAACGGUGGGCGACGAGUUCGAGGACCCCUCUGGGCCCCCGUCUCCUUGGCCUCCCGACGGAGGGGGAGGAUUCUCCCCCUGUCGCGAGGCGGGUGGCGCGUCCCCGCGCUCCGGGUUCUGCCCAUGGCCGGAGCCUACCGGGGCGCCCUCGCCUUGCGGCUGCUGGGCUGCCAGGGCGAGAAGCGCUUCUAUCUCCACGCCCCACGUCUCGUGGGCCGGCAUCCCCUGUUGCGGCUCGUACCGCACCAUGACGCGCACGGCGAUGAUGGCUUCCGCCAGGGUUCGUGGGGGGGGGGGGGGGGGGGGCAGCCGGUUUCCUGAGCGGCUGCUUCCCGCUCUGGCCCCGGACGCCUCCGGGUGCGCAGGGUGCGAACCCCCCAAGGUCGCCCGCGACGCGGUGUGCUCCUGGUGUCGCUGUCGCGCAGCAUCGUCGGCCCGCGACUCAACCCGCUGCCCGGCGCGGGCGGCACCGUGCGUGCUCGCGCAACUGGCCCCAGCACUGGGAGCAGCCGGUCCCCUCGGCCGAUUGUCGGCAGACGGCCGAGGAGGCGGGGGAAGCAGCUGCGUUUGCUGCACCCUCGAGGGCUCGAGUUCUCCUGAGCCCCCGACUCGGGUCGCAUGUCAUGCGACCGCGUGUGCGCCGCUGGGGCUUCACGCGGGUCAAUACGAGGAUCACCGGCCCGCUUGGGGGGCAUGGCCACUAGUCCGGUCGGCGAAGAAAGCGAGGCCGACGUCGAUGCGAACGAUGCUGCCGGCGACCACCGGCAUGCUCUUCUCCCGCGCCCCCUACCUGGCGCGCCAGAUGUCGUCGCACGGUGCUCCGACAUUGGGGGCGUGCGGUCACGGCCCCCUUUUAGGUUCGGUAGGGGCGUCGGGGUUCGCCCCGGCGAUCGCCGGCACGGCCGAUGAGGCCCUGCGGGGCCGGCGAAAUGAAGUACUGAAAGUGCGCGCUAAUCAAUGAACAGAUGCACGCACGUUUUUACCUAGGUUCGGGCCACCCGGAGGUGUAAAACCCUACGUCCUGCUUGUCUGAGCUGGUAUUGGAUUAAAAUCAAGCGUUUACAGGUUGCCGGGUGAGUUCCCGGGCUCUCUCUCUCUCACUAGAUGCUCCUAACUAUCCUCUGGUAAUGCAAGAGGCUAACUGUGGGCUGAUCGAACCGAACCCUACUGCCUACUGGAGUCAACUGAGAGUCCAACUGAACCGAGCGAACCAAAACCCAACCCUCUGAACGUUGGCGAGGGUCCUCCUUUUAUACUCAAGGGGAUGCCACAGGUGCCACGGUGCAUGAGCUACAAGUGUCGAGCGGGGAGGCAUACAACUCCCCCCGGUGAGCUGGUGGCGCGCAUGGAUGCCACCUCCACCGCUAGGGGUCUAAAACCCUAGAGUAGGACUGGACAGCCACUGUUCCCUUGAUCGGAUAGGUAACGCCCCGUCGGUCGGCUCAUUUAAUGAGCCGUGCGCCUUACUCCUCGCCCCGGUGGGGCCGCGCAUCCCACGCCCGCCACGCGCCCACAUGGCGCUGUUGAUCUGGCUACUCGGCCCCACGCUUGAGGCAGGGGCAUGCGCCCGGGAACCCCCUGUCCCGGCAAGUCGAUCCCCGGGAAGUCGCCCGGGCCGAACGCACCCGGGAACCUUCCCCGGGAAGCGGCUUCCCGGGAGGUGCCCAGGCGGGAAUAUUCCCCGAAGCCCCGCUAGCCCCUUCCGGGCUGGUAGCUUGCCGGGCUGCUCAUAGAUGCUGCCCGGGAUGUUACAAUCUACCCCCCUUAAAGGAAAUCUCGUCCCGAGAUUUGGCAAGGCUAGAGGAGAAGGUUCACUCGUCUAUCACUUGCGAUCCUUAUGUCCUGUGUCUCUCACGUAGGGUAAGGUGUAGGAUUCUUCCUAACAAAGUACCUACAAGUGUAGUGGCUUCCUUGCUUGCAACUUCAGCAGAUAAGUCCAUUUAUGACACUGCAUAAUCUUCUCUUAUGUGUGGCUAGGAAUCCUUUUGGUACUACCUCCAAUCAUACUCUUUUUUUUUCUUCUUCCAAGGUCUUCAAUCUUGGAUAAAUUCUUGACGACCAUUGGAGGGGUCUAUCCUAAAACGUUCUGUCUUGAGGAAAUAAUUUCUUUAAUCCAAAUCUCACACUUGCUGAACUCGGCAUAGAGAUUUUGGUUUUUCCAACACAUUCCGAAGAUGCGUCUUCUUGUUUUCUCCUACUUGCUUCAUCAUGGUGUAGAGUGGGCAUUGAGCCGACGGUGGUUCAUUCCUUCACAUGGGUUAUGACUCAAAUUGCAGAUUUCUCAUUCCAUCUUGGUGGUCAAUAGCACAACUCGAAUGAUUGGCUCAGUGCUUCCUGGAAGGGCAAAAUAUCUCCUUAUAGGCUAGAUGCUUUCUCGGAACAUCAUCUUGCUUCCUCACUUUGCUGACCAACUACUAGGUUUUCAGAUAGGAAAGAAAGGAUCUAAGGGGAAACAAAACGUCUAUUACCCCAAACAGCAAAGGUUUUGUUAUCAAAAUAAUUUUAUUUGCGGCUGUCAAUAAAUCUGGAAAAAAAUGACACCCCACAAUCGUGUUAUCUAACGGUUAACUAUAUACAAAGGGGUUAUAAUCCUAUCAAGGUCAUCUCGAGAUCUUCCAUUUCAUCACAACUUUAUCGGUCAAAAACAUCAGGCAUCCUUGUUGAAAUCUUGAUGCGGCAUCGCUCCACUGGUCAUCUCCAUCUUCUCAGGUAAGAAUAUUUUUUUUGAAAAGGAGACGGAUGUUUGAAAACUUCCGAAAUGGGGGUAAGUCUUGAAAGAGUAGAUGAGUAGAGAAAUAUGAGAGGUUUCAUAGAUAUCUAGUUUUGCAAAUGAGUCCUUAGGUCUUGUUGAAGGUACCUCUAAUUCUUUUGAAAAGGAAAGGGAUGAUGGAAUUAUUUUAAGAUAAGGUGAGAGUACGAAAGAAUAGAUGAGAUCAAAGAAUACUGGAGAUUUUGUAAAUACUUAGUUUUUUUGAGAUAAGUCCUUAUGGUCCAUCCAAUCUAGGGUCACGAAUCUACAGGCAACACAAUGCUCUGAUACCAUCUAAAGCGAUCCUCCCCCUUACAGGGUUCGAUCUCUGUGCUUACUAUGCUAGUCCCUCGAUCGACUCGCUAGCACACAUAGUUUCAAGAUGUAAUAUCAAGAUACAAAGGUCAAAAGUAUAUUACAUCGCAUUGAUCCAGAAUUUAAUAGUACCUUACAUAUUCCAUAACCUCAUGGGUUAGCUCAAUAGAAAAGGAAAUCUUGCAGCGGAAGGCAGAAGAUAUAGGAGUCCCAUAAAAACUCCACAGUCGAAACAUGUUGGAAUGUAAACUCACAACCCUAACAAUUCGCACCUCACUCUUCACCUGGUUCACCUGCAACAUUUAAACGUUGCAGCCACUAGGGGGUCAAUACAUUGAAUGUAUUGGCAAGUUCACCAAAGGGUUAUAACAGAACCUAUCAAGUACAUGCAGUAUUUGGCAAGGUGGAGUUCAGGCUAUUUGCAUAAAAGCGUCAAGGUUUAAUCCUAUCAUUUUUAACCAAAAUAGUUUUGAAUUCUAUUGGACACGGGGUAGAAACACCCAUGCUCCUAUUAACCUAGGCACAUUGAGUAGAAACAUCAAUGCUCCUACCCAGUUCAAACCAUUCAUUUUAUUAGGAAAUUGGAAUGAGUGAGACCUUCCUUACAGCUCCAAUAUCUAGUUGCUCAUAAUUGUCCGUAACCGGGGACACGGCUAAGUACUUAGUUUGACACUCUCGAGAGGUGGUACACUUUACCCACAAGAAAUGGACGUGUUAAUCCCUUGCUGUCCUCAGGGUAGAAUAGCAACGGCAUCGACUACAGGAAUUUUCAGAACAUAAUCCCCCAGACCACCUGAGGGACGCGCCCCCACCUACAAUGCUACAUACCGAUGUCACCUCGGAUCCGAGUUCAUAUUUCUUACAUCCAUCCUGGCAGAGCCCAUAAUACCAUGUGGUUGUACUGGAAGCUACUAAACAGGAAACUAGUCCAGUCUCUGGUUACCCCGGGUGGCAUCCCACAUUGUGACGCAGGCGCUCCCCGAAUCGCACAGGGAGACGACCAUGGACGCUCCCGAAUCGCACGGAGAGACGACUCAGCGGGCCCCAUGGAAAUGGACCUAACGUCACGACAUCCAAAAACUCAGAGCAGCCCACCCAGAACGAUUCAUUGAAUUACUUGUUUUGCCAUACACUAGGAAAAAUCAUAAUGUAGUUCAAUAGUAUCACAUUGUAAUAAUACCACCCUUGUAUAUUAUCAUAGCAUAGCAUUUUACUACUACGAUGGCAAUUGGUGGUGAAGUCAUGACAAAGGGUAUCCUAUACUACUAGGACAGAUCAUAGCUAGCAUAGAUACAGUAAUAAUCCUAACAAUGCAACUAAUAAAAUCUAGUGCAUAAUAAAAUAAUGGGUAAAUGAUCAAAGUGAACUUGCCUGAUUAGUGUCUUUGUAUUAUUCUUCUUUUCGAUACUCACAGUUACCGCACUCCGUAUAAUCUAUCGCGAAGAACUCCAAAUCAUAACUCCAAAUAAAGAACCAAAACAAUAUACAAAGUUCAGAUUAAACAGUACCUAACUACUGUUAGGCUAUCCUAGGCAUAGAUCUAAGAGGUAGGAACAAGGUUGGGACAAAAGCGGAGUUGGAACGGAAUUGAUUUCGUAACCUACGGGGUGUUAAUGGAUACAAUUUUCUAGGGGUCAUGAACUACUGUAGAUUAACUUUCGAAAGUGUACAAAGUGGUCCAGAAAUUAGAGUUUGGUGUACUCUUGUCACAACAGAAAGAAUGAACUGGUUUGAAAAUAUGGAUCAACAUGUAUGGGCUUUGGAACAUUGCUAAUCAAUAAGACAGUGUUAACAAAUACAAAGUUUGGUUGGGCUUUGGCUGUUUGGCAAAUGGUGCUAAAUGGCAGAACAUGGGAUGAAAAGUAUACUACUGUAUAGUAUUAAGAUUUUACUUGCUAACCCAACAAGUCUCAUCCCAAAAGGAUCUACAGAGAAUUAACUACUGGCUUGCAAAGCUGGCUAAUCUGAUUCUGACAGAUUAAAGAUACUAACUUAUACUGAAAAUGUACUGGUGCUAAUGGCUUCAAAAGACACAGGGCCAAUGGGAUGAAUUAAACUAGGUCUAACAAGCUUUCAAAAUCCACUGGUAUAACAUAAAUAGGAGUUGUGAGUCAAAAGAUACAGGCUUAAAAAAACAGGCUAAUCUAUAACAAAGUUUCUGUAACUAAAGGCUUAGAAUUGGCAGUGUGGGAAACUGCUGAAGGUACUGUUUUGCAAUGAUGAUGCACCUAUGUAGAAAAGACUUAACUUGUGCACCAAGCACACUAAUGUGUAGAACAGGAUCUAAUUGAUGAACUACAGAAGGUUUGGAACCAAACAGAUCAAUGGAACAAUUUAUAUUAAUUUCGAAAGGUGGCUAAUCCAGAAACAGCAUACUGUGAAUAGCAAUUUCCAACGAAGAUGCCGUACUGAAGAUCAUGGAGACGGGGUAUACAAUCUGGUCUAGUCUAGAGAGGUGGACGUGCUCUAACUACAACAGAAAGAUUCGGCCGCAAAAGAUUCACAGAUCAAAAUAUAUAGGCUUCUAAACAUGGCUAAUCAAAACUGCUGCCGCUGAAAAGUUGCUCACCGGAAAAGACACAGAGUUCGCCGGAGUUGAAGGAGGACGGCGAUGAUGUCGACGUAGCAUUCGAUGGGGCCGUGGAAGACGUCGAGGCGGACAUCGUGACGCGGUUUUCGGGGUCGAGGGCGUCUCCGGACGGCGACGGGCAGAGCUCCGGGCGCGGCUUUGGCAUGGGGUCGGGGACGGCGCGGCUAACGGCGUCAAGAGGUCACGAAACCUUGUCACAAAGGUAGGUAAGGGUCACAUGAGUCUACCGGUGAAAGGAAUCGAAGAACGGUGGUUCAGGGUGAUCUCACCGGGAACAAUGGUGGCGGUGACCGGCGAAGGAAGACGUCGACGUAGCCGGCUAUACAGAGGUUUUGAGCCCAAACUUUCUACAUGGGAAAGGGAGAGGAGAGGCAAAGGCUCAAAGUGACGGGCGUGGAAUCCUUUUAUAAUGGCCGAGGAGGGAGAUCGGGCGCGGGAUUCGACGGCCGGCAUUCGGGGCGCCUCUUUUGGAAACUGCGAUUAUGAGAGAAAACUUCAAAUUGGUUGCCUGAAUGGGUUUCCGGGAUGGUGCGGAUUGAUGGGUUGGUUUCCUUUCGAAGAGAGGCGCGCGGCAAGGAAAGAAAUCGAAGAAAGAAAAUAUGGAAGGAAGGGUUUCCUUAAGUGCAGAGGAGGAAGAACGAGCACGAGCUCGUGCUCGGCUGGGCUGGGGCGUUCGGUGGAGAUGGGCCGGCCCAGUUUGGGUCGGUCGCUUCUCUUUUUCUUUUUCCUUUUUUUUCCAUUUCUGUUUUUAUUAAUAACUUUUGAUUACUAACUCCAAAUAAGUCCAAAUAAACUCCAGUAAAUUUGUAAAUUCAAAUCUUCCAAAGUGUGAACUUUUGGGACCUGAAUCCUUUCAAAAUAAAAUAAGUAAAAAUACUUUUGCUUAUAUGAAUGUCAUUAGAGCUUUAUAAGUAAUAAAUAAAAUAGGUUUUGACAUCUAUUAUGAAACCUUUGUUUCAUAAAUUAGUUUAAACUCCAAUAAAAUAUUGGGUUGGCAUAAUUUGCACUAAAACCCUUCCUUAGCUAAAUACCCCAUUGGGUUGAACUCCAAAUAAAAUCUUAUAAUAAUUAUAUGGUUCACUAAAUUCCCAAAUAACUUUAUAACACCAAAUCACAAACCAUGUAAACCACCGCAGAUGUUUCCAACUAUAUAUAUAUAUAUAUAUAUUUGGGAAGUCAUGUUAUUCCACUCUCAACGACAGAAUAAAUGUUGGAAUAACAUUUGCACAUGAGGAUGUCACGUUAUCCUCUUCUCGAAUAUUUGAUAACUUCUUCUCGAAAACAAAAUUAACAUGUCAAAAUAAAAAUCGAGAAAACAUAGGUACAUCAUUAAAUAUGUUUCCAACCUUAUAAGUAGGAAAGUCAUAUUAUUCCCUCUCUUUAUCAUUUAGAUAAAUGUUGGAGAACAUUUUUGAUCGAUUUAAAUAUUCCAACGAUGCUCUCAAUUGUCAUGGCAUCCAAAUUGGAAUCUUAGUGUGUUAGUAAAUCCUUCAGAAAGAAAAUAGGAUUUAUUAAGAUGCGAAUAAUAGUCUGGAAAAAAUCAUAAUAUGCAAAUGGUUCCAAAUAGAAUACUUUGAACUUAUAUAAAUGUUCCCAACCAUGUUGUAUAAUUUGGAUAGUCAUAUUAAUCCACUCUUCUGUUGAAUAUCUCAAUCACUGUGUAAUGAUGAUGUGGAGUGAUUUUGGAAACUUGGCAAAACAACCCUAAUGAACCAUCCUGGGUGGACUGCUUUGAGAUUUUGAGAUGUUAUGCGACGUCAGGUCCAUUUCUAUGGGUCCCUCUGAGUCGAGUCUCCGUGGAUUCGGAGAUGGAUCGUCCAUGGACGUCUCCCCGUGGAUUCGGGGAGCGCUUGCGUCGCAAAUGUGGAAUGCCACCUGGGGUAUCAGAGACUGGACUAGUUUCCUAUUUAAUAGCUUCCAGUACAACCAAGAGCUAAUAUGGGCUCUGGCUGGAUGGAGUAAGAAAUGUUUACCCAGAUCCAAGGGAUGGUACGGAGGUAGUUGUGUAGGUGGGAGCGCGCAUCCCUCAGGUGGUCUCGGUGAACAUGUUCUGAAAAUUCUUGAAGUCGAUGCCGUUGCUACUCCACUCGGAGGACAGCAAGGGAUUAACACGUCGAAUUCUUGUGGGGAAUGUGUACAACCUCUCGAGAGUGUCAAACUAAGUACUUAGCCGUGUCCCCGGUUACGGACAACUAUGAGCAACUAGAUAUAGGGGCUGUAAGGAAAGUCUCAUCAUUCCAACUUCUUAAAUAAAAUGAAUGGUUUGAACAGGGUAGGAGCACUUGAUGUUUCUACUCAAUGUGCUCUAGGUUAAUAGGAGCAUGGGUGUUUCUACCCCGUGUCCAUUAGUUAAUAAUAUUGUAACAUUCAAUUGUAAUAAGAUAAACUAUGCUUUUGCUACCACGCCAUAAAGCCUAAACCCCACUAUACCUCAAUUGCAUAUACUUGGUAGGAUCUGUUAUAACUUCCAGGUGAGCUUGCCAAUACAUUCAAUGUAUUGACCACGUAGUGGCUACAAUUAAUAAUGCAGGUGAAUCUGACGAAGAGUGAGGUUCGUCGAUGUUCUUUGGGUCAUGUGCUUACAUUCCAACAUGCUCUCUCCUCUGGGAGUAGAUGAGGCCCAUUUGCUCUACCUUUCCGCUGCAGUUUUAUGAUACAAUGUUAUCAUGGUUUUGAAACAAUAUCUGUUUAUGCUGGCCUAAGAGGUCAUGCAAGUUUGUAAGUACCAUUUAAGUUCUGGAUGAUACGAUGUAAUAAAGUACUUUUGACCUUUGUAUCUUGGUAUUAUAUCUUGAACUGUGUGUGUUAGUGAGUCCAUCCAGGGACUAGCACAAAUAAGCACAGAGAUCGAACCCUAGUAAGGGGGCGGUCGCUUCACCUCCACAGGUGGAUAUGCUAACCAGGUUCUUGCGUUUGGACCCACCCACCUUCUCCAGUUCACCUAAACCAAUCGUGGCGGACGACUGGCUCCGCUCAGUUAAUAAGAACUUGGUGACCAUCAACUACACUGAGGAUGAGAAAGUGCGGUUUGCAGCCCAUCUGCUUGAAGGACCGGUUGCAUCGUGGUGGAAAAAUUACUAGAUCACCACCCCCAUCGAGCAAGUCACUUGGGACAUGUUCCAAGAAGCUUUCCGCACCGCCCACAUCUCAGCGGGGGUGCUUAAUUUGAAGAAGAUGGAAUUCCUGCGGCUCAGACAGGGAAGCCGCACAGUGGUCGAGUUCAUCGACCAGUUCAAUAGCCUCGCCCGCUAUGCGUCGGACGAGGUGAACACGGAUGCUGCUCGAUUGCUCGCCGGAAAAGCUCGCCGCCGCCGAACGUUUUUGGUCACCGCCGAUGACCCGGUACGGCAUCGACCUCCCCUCCUCUCCUACUCGCUUCCUCUCUCCCUCGCGCACCCCCUGACGCGCUUUCUUUUCUUUUUCGUGCACCGCAGCACCUCGCCGACGUGAACCCGGAGCAUCGCCGCCACCCGCCGCCUUCAAGUCGUCCUAGGCGUCGAUUCCGUCGCCCCCGAGGAACGCCAACCCCGUCAUCGUCUUCGCCGUGCCGCACCGCUUCGUCUCCACGCGCUUCCCCGACCCGAAAUCUUCGCCGGAACCGCCCGCCGCCGCGUCCCCACGUCACCGGAAUCUUCGCCAGAACCCUAGCGCCGCCGGUAAUCUCCCAUGUUCAAUCUCAGCCAUUCAUUUUUCAUCAACGGUUACGAUUAGAUCCUGUUAAUUACUUUAAGUGAACCGAGACCGACGAAUCACGUGACGACACGUGGCACUAUAAUAGAAAAGGAAAAUGUAUUUUUUAAUCCCGGAUUUGAUUUAAAUGGCACUUUUGCAGAAAAACCCUAGAACUUCAAAUGCUUAUAACUUUUAAACCCUUUGGCCAGAUUUGACAAAUUUUACCUUUCUGGAAAGCUCUUGACCUGUAGAAUCUUUUGGCACUGUUUGAAUUUAAAUUUGAAUAUCUGAAUCACAGUCAAUUUAUAGAAAGGCCUUUUAUGCCAUGUAAUUCAUAACUAAUUAUUAAGAAAUCCUUUUUAAUUGAAACCAGUGCCCAAAAAUUUCUUUUAUUAUCCUCUGUCCAUUGGGACAGAGACAUAAAUAUUUUGAAUUAAAUUAUUUGGCUGAUGCCAAUGAAACUAUAAUUUAGGGUUUUAAUCAAUUGUUUUUCCUUCUUGGUUAAAACCCUAAUGCAUUUGUUUUAAUUACCAAUGCUUAGGACCAGUUGAUCACCCGAAUAAAAUAAACCAAUGCUUGUCACAUGUUGCAUCGCAUCAUAGCAUAUCUUAUUUUGUCGUGAUGUGAAUUGUGAGUUUAUGUAUGUGUAUGUUGUUUGUUUCGUGUAGUUUUCUCGGAGAGCGAACCUUGUGAAUGUGACGAGUGUUUAAACUCCAACCGCUACCAAGGCAAGUUCACUUUGAUCAUAUCCUAUUACUGUUUGUUUUUAAAAUACUUAUGCAUUAGAGUUGUUUGUAGAAAUGCAUUGAUAGAACUAUUACUCGUACUUAUGCUAGCUAUGAUUGACCUACCAGCUAUAAGGUUACCUUUGCCAUGAAUCCUCCACCAAUAGCCAUCGUGAUUAGUAUUGCUUAGCCAUGCUAUGUUAGUAAACGUGGGAGGGAAUCUCAAUCACUGUGUAAUGAUGAUGUGGAGUGAUUUUGGAAACUUGGCAAAAACAACCCUAAUGAACCAUCCUGGGUGGACUGCUUUGAGAUUUUGAGAUGUUAUGCGACGUCAGGUCCAUUUCUAUGGGUCUCUCUGAGUCGAGUCUCCGUGGAUUCGGAGAUGGAUCGUCCAUGGACGUCUCCCCGUGGAUUCGGGGAGCGCUUGCGUCGCAAAUGUGGAAUGCCACCUGGGGUAUCAGAGACUGGACUAGCUUUCCUGUUUAGUAGCUUCCAGUACAACCACAUGCUAAAUGGGCUCUGGCAGGAUGGAUGUAAGAAAUAUGAACCCAGAUCCGAGGGAUUGUACGGAGGUAGUUGUGUAGGUGGGAGCGCGGGUCACUCAGGUGGUCUGGGUGAAUAUGUUCUGAAAAUUCUUGAAGUCGAUGCCGUUGCUACUUCACCCGGAGGACAGCAAGGGAUUAACACGUCGAAUUCUUGUGGGGAAUGUGUACAACCUCUCAAGAGUGUCAAACUAAGUACUUAGCCGUGUCCCCGGUUACGGACAAUCAUGAGCAACUAGAUAUGGGGGCUGUAAGGAAAGUCUCACUCAUUCUAAUUUCUUAAAUAAAAUGAAUGGUUUGAACUUGGGUUUAGGAGCAUUGAUGUGUCUACUCGAUGUCCUUAGAUUAAUAGGAGCAUCAGUGUUUCUACCCGGUGUCCAUUAGUUAACAAUAAUGUUGCAUUCAAUUGUAGUAAGAUAAACUAUAUUUUGUUACCACGUCAUAAAUCCCGAACCUCACAAUACCUCAAUUGCAUAUUCUUGGUAGGGUUUGUUAUAACUUCCAGGUGAACUUGCCAAUACAUUUAAUGUAUUGACCACGUAGUGGCUGCAAUCAAUAAUGCAGGUGAAUCUGACGAAGAGUGAGGUUCGUCGAUGUUCUUUGGGUCAUGUGCUUACAUUCCAACAUGCUCUCUCCUCUGGGAGUAGUUGAGGCCCAUUUGCUCUACCUUUCCGUUGUAGUUUUAUGAUACAAUGUUUUAUGGUUUUGAAACAAUAUUUGUUUAUGCUAGCCUAAGGGGUCAUGGAAGUUUGUAAGUACAAUUAAGUCUGGAUGAUACGAUGUAAUAAAGUACUUUUGACCUUUGUAUCUUGGUAUUACAUCUUGAAACUGUGUGUGCUAGUGAGUCGAUCCAGGGACUAGCACAAAUAAGCACAGAGAUCGAACCCUGUAUGGGGGCGGUCGCUUCAUUGACGAACCAUACAAUGUGUCAUAUGCAACAUUCCUUUUGCCUCACGAUAUGUGUGUCGAGCUCAAGGCGAGUGCUUGUCAUCCUUGUGGAUAGCUCGACUCCCUUCUCGUUCCUGUGAUACAGAUUCCCGAACGAGUUAACACUUAACCCAAGUCGCAUGGCCAUGCUUUCCAAAUCUGAUCACUCGAGAGGGCCCAGAGAUAUCUCUCCGAACAGGACGGGCAAAUCCCAUCUUGAUCAACCAUGACUCGCACCAUGCUUCUCAGCAAACCCGAAAGCGACCUUUAUAACCACCCAGUUACGGAGUAGCGUUUGGCAACCCCUAAGUAGGCCGAUUCACAUCCCAAGCUCAUGCGCUGACCUCAGGUCUAGGACUGGCAUAUACAUCGUACUUGAGACUAACAAAUGACAAUCAUCUCGUUGUGUCUCAGUGCGGGUCUGUCCGACUCCACAAUCUCAUUGUCGAGUCCAUGCUAUCAGUCGGCAACACCUUGCCCUAUGACUUGUGAAACAUAGUCAUCAUACUGAUUCACAUUGCUAGUCUAGGUUAUGUGUCCGCAUAACCUCAAUGACCAAGGACCAUUAGAACAAUAUCAUAGAAUACAUAGUCUCACAAACAAAUCAUGUAUUUAUUGAUAGAUAUCAGUGAUGAUGUUCAAGGACAAUAACAAUAACUCAUGAAUACAUAGGAAAUAACAUCAUCACAUGAUUUCCCUUAGGGCAUAUCUCCAACACUACACGCCAUUUUUCCUCGUAUACGGGGCAGAAGCUGUCUUACCAACCAACAUUGAACAUGACUCCCCGCGAGUGACCAUGUAUACAAAGGCCGAGGUAAAAGAGGCCCGAGAAAAUGAUGUCGACCUGCUCGAAGAAGCACGGGAAUUGGCUCUAUCUCGGUCGGCCAUCUAUCAACAACACCUAAGGCUUUAUCACAGCCGGAGGGUAAACCCGCGAGUAUUCUGGGAAGGAGACCUCGUGCUUCGACUUGUGUAGCGCACAGCCGGCAUGCAUAAACUUUCACCCCCAUGGGAAGGACCCUUUAUUGUGAGCAAAGCGUUACACAACGAUUCCUACUAUCUUAUAGAUGCGCAGGAUCCCAAAGAAAACAGGAUGGACAGGUCAGGCGAGGAGACCAAGAGGCCAUGGAAUGUAGCUUUGCUUCAUCCGUUCUAUACUUAAGAGAUGAGUAUUUGUAUCGUUUUUUCCUUAUGUUGAGUGUUUUGAGACAAUGAAAUUUUCCGCCGGGUUCUCAAAAGGAACUCGGAGACUUCCAUGCUAUUUAAGUUUUAUAUUGCAAUUAUCUUUUGUAUGUCGGCAUGGCUUAAUUGUGUAAUCUUAUGUUGGUUUAGUAGUGUGUCGGUAUUGAAAAUCCCCUCUAUGACUUCGCUGUUGUCCGCAACCCGGCUUCAUGGCAAGCUAGAGACGGGUACGAGAUAACUAAACACAUGAAAAGCGAUUGCGAAAACAAACAAGGAAGCGAGCCAGAUGCGCGUUGUUUUACUUAACCCGGCAUUUCUUUCCUAACUCAGGUAUUGCCCAGUGAAUUUGUCGAGUUUAAUUUUUCGAAAGGGUUGUUCUAUGACUCCGCGAUUCAUACGUUGAGCGCCGAUAAGGCAGACAAAAGAACCGAAGUCAUAAAAUUUCAGCAACAGAAAAGAUAGACUCGGGGACUCGAUUGGGAACUCGGUAAUUAAAAGACUUGACUAAAUUAAAAGUAUGAUGCUUCACAAACAAAAGUGUUAUAAUUCGGUUACAUCUGCACCCGGCAUCCCAGGAAUCUGAUAAUCUUAAAGUAUUUUUCUAAACAUGCCAAAGAAGAGACGGAAGGACUGUUGGCGGCAGAACUCGCCGCAUCCGUUGCAGUGGAAGCCGACUCGAUGACACUCUCUUCGUCGACUGCCUCCUCGUCUUCUUCCACGGCCAUCUCUGCCUCUGCUUCGGAUACCGAGCCCUUCACAAACUUAUGCACGUCGGCAUAUUGGAUGAAGAAGUAGGCCCGCUCCUGCCGCUUUGCGAUAAGCUCCGGAUCCGAGAGGUAGGAGGAGCCGACACGCAUCGACUGCAACCACGUCGAGGUUGAUGCCGUCAUACCAAGAAAGUACAAACAACAAGGCCUCGUCAGUGCCGACACGAGAGGCCGACUCCCGCCAUUCAUUAAGACGAUCCUCCACCUCCAGAAGGCGCGUUGCCAACUCCGGGAUGUCGGCCGGAGUUUCUUCUCCUGGCCACAAAGCUCGAAAGGCCCGGAUGCCGACGUUGAGCAUGUUCACCCGAAGGACUUCAGAGGCUUUACCCGGCUCGCAAUGCUAACCAGGAAAUCCACCAAGUCGUAUUCGAAGGGUUCUGUCCCGGCUGGAUCCCUCCUUUUACGGGCUUUAAUCACAGCAGCUUGGGCGGUCUCGACAGAUUGUGGAAAAAAUUCUAACAAAGGCAAAAAGAUAGUAAUGAGUCUCGACACCCUAUUGCUAUUAACGGACAGGUGAUCAGAGGAAGAGAUUUGGACAACGGCCACUUACUAGUCAGCAUGGCGUUUUGACGAGGUCACGCCGGUACACGCUGACCAGGGGGGCGUUCUCGGCUUUUCCUUCUCGGCAGUACUGGCGCGGGUCUCGACCUCGGCAACGAGAUCCUUGCAUUUCUGCACCUCGCCUUCUAGGCGGAUCUUCUCGUCAGCUUGGGCGGAGAGGGCCGAGGUCAGUUGACCUACCUCGGUCUUGUGCGCCUCCGCCUGAGCUUCAAACUGCGCCUUCAGACGGGCCACUUCCUCCCGGUGCUGCUCUUCAAGCCGGGACUUCUCAUCUGUUUAACAGAUGUGUGUUACAGAAGCUUGAGUUUAAAGAUAGAUCAAACUCGGGAAAAGGACAGACUUAUACCUUGCACUUCGGCGACACCCUUCAGGAGCUCACAUACUUGAGCAUUGUCCCCGGCUAUAAAUAAGAGCACGUAACAGUUUUGCAGUGCAUUAAUACUUGGACAAGGUCUUUAUGUUGGUGGAAAUUUGCUUACUCUGGCUCUGGCACUCGGCUACCAAGGCCUUGUGCUCUGCCUCAAGCUUUUUGUGCUUCGCCAGCAGCAUCUUAAAGGUGGUCGUGCGCUUAUUCAUGCAGGUUUGCAAAAUAGUGAUCCACAGAUAAGUCUAUUACGGUGGAAGGUUCACAACUACUCGGGGAAUAAGUGUUUAAAGUUUUUAAGCUUCAGGCCGACUAUUCUAAAAUCCAGCCUGAAUUCCGGGGAAUAAGUGUUUGAAGUUUUUAAGCUUCAGGCCGACUAUUCUGAAACCCGGCCUGAAUCUCGGGGAAUAAGUGUUUGAAGUUUUUAAGCUUCAGGCCGACUAUUCUAAACUUGGCCUGAAUCUCGGGGAAUAAGUGUUUGAAGUCUUUAAGCUUCAGGCCGACUAUUCUAAACCCCGCCUGAAUCUCGGAUAAAUGCAGAUGUGAGCAUUUCUAAUACUAAGUGUUAUGAUGACUAAGAGAAGAUGUCGGAAAUUGUUACCUUCGGUGCGACGGGGGCCGGCAUGGGCAAUCGGCAUGUGAUCCUCUGAGUCCGGAUCUUCAUGGUCGAUGGUCAUGCGCUGGCUCCCAAAGCGCUUAUCCGGGGAUUUCCCGUCUUCGUUGCGCUGAAGGGUAAACUUCUGCACAAAAGAAUUAAGAGGCGCCGAGAUAAGUCAUUAUCAAAUAAAAGCCGGCAUAACCUUGUGCCGGAUGAGAACAGAAGACGUAAAUAAACAAGAACUCACCUGGGGAGCACGCUACUUCCAACUAUAUGCCGGCAGACCCCAUUCCCAGCGCUCAGGCAUACUCGUCUUCCGGAAUCCGCCGGGAGCGGCGGAGCCAUGCGAUGUCCGCAUGGGAGACGUCAGAGCCCUCCCAGCCAGCUCGUUCCGAGCCCGCCCUCUCUUCGACCUGCUGAGCAGCAGGGUCGAUGGCGGCGACGUCGCGGGAGGAAGAAGCCAUGGGUUGGAAAACUAGAUCUAGGGUUUACUUCUUCGGUGAGAAGGUGCUGGCGCAAAGCAAGAAAAGCGGCAGCGGAAAGCUAAGUGAGCGUGUGCACGAGGAUGCGGCGGCGAGCUCGGUUGCUAGAAGUCAGGAAAUGCGACGGCGGAAGAGCUCGGAGUUCGCGGUAAUGGCGGAGUGCGCAAGGAGCAGAGGAGCUAAGGAGAGCGAGGAGGUUGGGGGAGUGCGAAGGGUUUUUUACCCUCACCCCCUCCCUCUAUUUACACCCGCGGCGCACUAAUAGGGCACGGAUCUUCCGCGCACACAAUCCCUGUGGCCAACAAAAGAGCCGCGCACGAUCAUGGAGGCUUUCAACCCCAUUAACACGCACGCGCCCGGUUACCGCGCGGCGUGGCGCAAAGAAUCCCGCCGAACCGAAAUUCCCCUCUUAAUGGCUCUGUCGGCUUUACUGUCUGAUGGGAUGAUGCGCUCGCCUCAAAAAGCGCACCGGCAGUACUUCGGGUCUUAUCUGCCCGUUGUUUAAGUAGAGCCCAGAGUAUGAGCGACAGGUGGCACCAGUAUCGGCAGAAGCAAGUUUGCUAUUGUCGGCUGCGGAGGAGAGAGGGAUCUCAGCUCAAGGCUGAACAAGCACGCCGACUCGAUAUGUCAGAAUAACUCGGUCUCGGCUAAGAGAACUCGGGAUUGUUUCGGUAUCCUCUUUGGCUAAACCCUGGUAGGCUUCGGUGGUUGGUCUAUGGGAAACUGUCGUGGUCCGACAUUCUUCCCUGCCGGACCGCAACAACUUCGGAGACUAGUGUUGGGGGGAUGACCUCGAGUAGGGUCAUGACGACACGCUUUAGCCAAGAUGACGAAGGCGAAGUCGGCAUAUUCAUGUAUGCCGGCAUCAUUAAGUCAAACUAAUGCCAAGCCGGCAUACCAAGUGUAUGCCGGCAUGACUAUUUUGUCUUAUAAGAUUGUAGGAUAAGGCGAAUACUCUGAUCUCGGCCAGCGCCGAGAUGUCUCAAAGGUCUUAUCCUCAUCACGUGGCGCCAAGUAAAGCAGCGCUAUCUUUAUCACGGAAAAGCAGUCGCCGCUUACGUUGCGAUGCCAGGCGACUGCACAAAGAAGCACCGAAAGAGAAUCUCUGACGGAAGCCGGCAGAUAAUUGAUGAUUGAUGUACUUGUUGCAGGGCGCCAAGGAAAGUAAAGUUGUCUUGUCCCCUGCGGCGCCACCCGGAGGGAACCAAGGCGCGUGCCCGGCGGGGCCCAAAGAAGAUAACGUUAGGUUCCGUCCCGCAUGUCAGUGUGACAUGGGCACUCCAUAAAUAGAGCACUACCCCUCCUAGGAGAGGCGGCGAUCACCUAGACAUCUAGGGUUUUCCCCUUUUUCUUCAUCUUCUUCCUCAAGAAUACAGCUUAAGGAGCGCCAUUGUAGAGCUUGCUAUCUCGGCUAAUACAACAAAUCAAGAUUAGGAGCACUACAUCGGCAAGAGGGCUCCGAACCUGGAUAAAUCUGUGUGUACUUGUGUAUUCGCGCGUGUUUCCCUUCACGUCCUCUCUCCUCCGAAUUCUCCUUCGUCCACCGGCUCCAAGAUAAGCCAUCCCAUGGCAUUUACCGUGACACCACCAUGACACGGUGAGCUUACCUCGGCAAACCAGUGUUACUAAAGGAAGAACCAAAGACUCAAAACAAAGUACUUAGCUUUCCGUUCUCUUUGCUCUUGGAGCACCUUGUUGAGAGUCGUGGCAAGGACGCGGUGACAGUGCAACCAUAGCGGUAUUGUUGCCCAUGUGGGACACGUGUCCCCUCAACCUAGCACAGACCAUUGGCCAGACCAUUUUAAGUCACCCACGCUUGGUUUCUGCUAGUACUAAUUAAAAAUGGACUAGAAUAGGACAUUUUUGCGGUAAUAGGUUAAUUAUGGUCGAUUCAUGGACUUAAAGAUAGUCCGGUCAACAUUGUGUGCCAGGUUUGUGUGAGGCAACCCAAAGAAAAAGAAGAGAGCUGGGAGAUUCAGCUCCAGCAAUAGGUAUCAUCCAACAAUUCCAAAUGAAACUAAAUAUGGAGAUACAAAUCAAGAUUAAGCCUAACAAGGUUGGCAGGACGUGUGGCAAGACCAAAACUACGACAUGCUGCAACAGUUGCAACAACAACACCUCAUUGGGUGGGUUUGGCAUUGGGGGAUGAAAUAUGUUAAGAAAGAAACUUAAGAACCAAAUGUCUGAGUUAAUUACAACGUGUUUCUGCACUAGGAAUUAAUUAAGGCCUGAAAAUUAGCUCGAAAUUCAGAGAGUCAACCGAGUAGGAGUAGUUGCUUGCUACUACUCGGCGGCCUAAUAAGAUAUUACCCUUCCUAAAUUGCUACCACCUCCGUACAAAACAAGUGUCUCGGUGUUGAACUAAACCUAGUUCGAAACUGCGACAUUUAGUUUGGAUCAGAGGGGGAGGGGGUUAAAAUUUAGUGAAUCUAGAGUAAAAAAUCGGGAUGAGAUGUUAAUAAAUUUGAAAAUUAUAUAAAAAACAAUGCAAAGUCCAGAAACACAAAUGUAUCUCGACAGUGUUGACACACGGUAUCAACGGGGAUUACAAAAAUUGUAGAGCAACUUCCCCUGAUUCGCUGUCAAUCCCCCUCAAACCCCACCGGCCCACCAACUGCUCGAGGAAAUGUCCAGAACGAGAAGGAAGAAGAUGAUGAGCUGGAUGCCACGUGGCCUUAGGAGCAUGAGAUGAGAUCCCGUCAGAAUUCCCAACCGCACCGACCUGAGUCUUUGCCAAAGCAAUCAGGAAGUUCCCUCUGCUCGAGGAGCUCGAGCUUUCGCAGUGUUUUUAUGAUGCGGAUCUGAUCGAACUUGUCGCGACAGUAUGCCCACGGCUGAAGCACUUUCGACGUGUUAGAUAUGUUAAAAGAGCCAUGUGCUUUUGUUGCUCUCCUCCUGACGAUUUUUAUGAUAUCAAUGAUAGUGUAGCCUUUGCAAUUGCAAGGAUGCAUGAGCUGCGUUCCUUGCAUCUCAUCGGCGAUACUCUCAGCAACUGCCACCACCUGGACUACUUUAACUUGCACGAUUGCCAACAUAUCAACAUGGAGGAGGACAAACUGGUAGAAAAGUGUGCUGGGGUUUACAUGGAUGAUUAUGCCUACUUUCAGCCUGCAAGCCCUCCUUCUAGUCGUGAUGGUGAUUUCAGCAUUUCUUCAUGCUCGGAUUUCGGGGAUGAUGACAUUUUCAAUUCCUACAUUGAUGGUGAUGUUGAUGACCUUGAACUUGAAGAGGCCGAGAGGGUUCUUGACAGCAAGGCCAUGCGUAGGUACCUGAGCUAAUAAAACAGUGUAGAUCUAGAUGUUUUGAUGGAGGUGCUCGGAUUGCCUGUAGCCUUCUUUACUGAAGGUUGGAUCGGCUGGUGUUGCUUGUUUGUUUGCUGUAAAUAAAUUUGCAUCACUUUCAGUUUUGUGGUUUGAGGAAUCCACCUUUGUUCUUAUAGUUUGACACUUCCAGCUGAACUUCCAAAUACAAGAAAGUCCAACUCACCGGUCAGCUCCUGUGCAUCUUCCGCAGGCUCCACAUCCCGGAGCUCGAUAUGCCACGCGCACUUGACUUGCAAAACUCAAAACUAUGAAAACGACCCGUGCGUUGCUACGGAACAACAGAAAAUUAUAUCAAAAUGUCAAAUCAAAUGUUGAUGUGUUUCAUGAGCACACACGUAUAUAACAAUUAUGAUAUAUUUAUUUUCUAAUCUAUACUCUUGUCUCUUUUUAUUUUGCACAUGUCUUAUUUCUAUAUCUCGUGUAAAGAGAAAGUGACACAUGCUCAACUCUUUUACUCUCUACCUCCAGGUUAUCACUGUUAUCGCAUACACCACACUUGAAAAGUCAUGUGUGAGCGUUUUUUUUAAAUUUUUUGCUGAAUUCAUGAAGUGAUUCUCAAUAUAAUCAUGAAUAAUAAAGAACAUGUAGCAAUGAUAACGUUUAUCACUUCCAUCCGUCCAAGCCGCUCGACUUCCCAUGCGGUGAUGAUUUAAACAACAAGCAUCGGUAUAUCGAUCAAGACAGCAAGCAGCAGCAGCCAUCAUAUAAAGCAAGCGGCAAUAUAAAGCAGCAUUCCUGUUCUCCUAUUACUCUCCUAUUACUCCUACUCCCUACUUUAUUUCUCAAAUCAUUUCCCCAAUUUCUCUCGCUCUCCGUCCGACUAUCCUCUCCAUCCACCCUGAGUGCAAACUACUCCUCUCUCCGUCCCGAUUCAUCCCGCCACCGAACAUUGCGCGGCUGCCCGCUUGUGCGUCCCGCCUCCGCCCAUAGAUUCCCGCUGCCCGUCCGCUCCCGCGUGCCGUCUGCUCCCGCUUGCUACCCGGUAUAGGUGUGCGCCUUCUCACAGCCUUGUCCACCCGUUCGCCGCGCCCGCGCGCCGCCCACACAUCGCGUCUGGCCAUUGGUCGCCGCGCGCCACUGCCCGUCGGGAGGGUCACCGAUGCGGUCCCUGCUGCCUUGCGCGAGGCCACCGCCAUCCUGGCCUCAGGCUCAUCCCAUCGCCUUCCAAGUCCCGCGGGGAGCCACCGGCGCACACGAACCGGUGGAGGCGGCGGUCGGGGGCGCGACAGAGCCACGGGUAUGCAGCCGCCUUCCGCCCACGGACGCCACCAACGCGCACAAGCUGGUGGAGGCGACCAAGAGCGGUGGCGGGCGCUGGCGAGAUCCGAAUCGGGUGGGGGUGAGAUUCGUAGGAUAGGAGGAGCGAGGAGGGCUCUGUUGUUGUUUUUUCUUUUUUGUGCGGUACGUAUUUUUUCUACACUUGAGAACCACGGGAGCCGGGAUUAAAAGGCACGUGGGGACAGCGGUGGCAGAUUCGUAAUUUCAGUGAAGUGACGUACUGCGACGACCGUACCAUCACCACCGACUCCAAUUUAAUAUAUUGGUAUAGAUAUUUCCAUUAGAUUUGACUUGCAAAACUGAGAUCUCUCAUAUGUUUUGUAUUUAACAUCUGGCAUUUGAGACUAUGUAAAUUUAAAACGACAUACGUACAUAACGCGCAAACACUCCCCAACAAAACGAUGUGUGAAAUCGAGUAUGAUUAAUAACCAUAUGAACCGUAGGAAUAAUAAAUAUCAGUUAAAUCCCAUUUAAGAAAAUUCUGUAUUUUGCUUGUUCCUCGUCUUCUCAAACAAUUCACAUUUCGUCACGGAGCCGACGAUCCGAAGCGGUUUUCUCGAUGACUAUGCUUUUUUUACCCAAGUUUCCACAUGGCUUUCAAAGUGGUAUCCAGUUUCUUCCUUCUCAUCCUGCACGAACAUUUGGUCGAUCAGUUGGUGGGCAUAGCCUAGAUCCUAACUGAAUUCUCAAGGGCACCGACCUUUAGCCGUCUACAAAACCCAAGUCCUGGCUCGUGCUCGUAAUAACUCGUUAACGCCCCUCCACAUCGCGAUCGCGAUGCCGGCGCCGCCAUCAUCGGCUCCGCCGCCGGCAGCGGCGGCUCCUUGGAGUCGAUCCAAGAAAACACAGAUCACCGUCCACGUCUCGGUGUUCAAGCUGAUGCCGUUGCCGCCGCCGGAGCAGGACUGGGCGGAGGACCUGCCCCUGGACGCGCUCCUGUGCAUCCUCCACAAGCUGGGCACCGUCGAGCUCCUCAUCGGCGGCGCGGCGGGGGUGUGCCGCUCCUGGCGCCGCGCCGCGCGGGAGGAGCCCGAGCUGUGGCGCCGCAUCGACAUGCGCGACCCGUCCGUCCCGUACUUCUCGCCGCGCGUCAGCCUCGGCAUCAUGGUGCGGCAGGCCCUGCGGCUCAGCGCCGGCCAGUGCGAGGUUUUCUCUGGGGGCGCGGGUCUCGACGACGACAUCCUCCUCUACCUCGCGGAGCGGGAAGAUCUCUCGUGCAUCCCGGACCAAUUUUUACGCUAUCUAACUUAUUUCUAGUCAAAAUCAUAUGCCAAAUUGGAAGGAUCGCUGCAGCAUAAUCUUUACGGAUUCAAAUGAUGGAAUAGCUUUUCUUAAACACAGGGAUACAUCCGUCUAUGUUAAUAUAUUAAAUUGGAGUUGGUGGUGAUGGUUCGCCGUACGUCAUGUCAUCAAAAUUACGGUCAAUAUGCCACCGCUCGUUAUUUCUCUCGACAUGGACGCCCCCCGAGCCCAACCUGCUCGAUCCCCUCCAGACGUCCCACCCAACCUGCUCCGUUGCACCCGCCGCCGCAACCCCCUUCCUCUCUGGCUACCCCCCCACCCCACCCCACCCGCCUCCCUUUUCUCCCCCGACCUCCUGCUCCUUCCUUCGCCUGGACAUCACUUCUUUUCUCACUACAGUUCGUGGCCUGGCCACUCCAAGCAUACCGACCCCACGCGAGAUCCACCCGACGACCGCUGUCCGCAGUCCCAACGCGUGAUCCAGAAAGUGUCCGUCGUCCGCCAUCCACGCAUGAGAUCCAGUAGGUGGCCGGCCAUAGCUCAACCAUCCGACGAGUCCUUAUUGUUUUCGUUUGUUGUAGUGCUUUGCACGAAUCGAUGGAUAAUUGGGAUGUACUCCCAACCUGAUUGAUGGUAGCUGCUAUGGAUAAUAGAUAGAUUAGUGUUGUUCCAUGCACCGAAUGAUUAACAUGUGCAUGCUGUGAUUGAAAAUUAGCAUUUACUGAUAGUUUGACUGCAUGCUUGGAAAUUAGCAUCUUUUUUCUAUGGGUUCCAGACUUUUGGAUGUAUACAAAUUUGCUCUAUGUUUUGAACUUUUGUAUUGGAUCUUUUCUUGUUAGAAUGUGAAAAUUUGGUACAGAAUUUGAAUGAUGAUUUAUUAGUGCACGGGAUCAUCUUUUAAAGUGGUCAUGACAUGUGCGUUGGCCCGUGGCAGCGCACGGGCAUUUCCACUAUUAGAUAAUAAAAUGUUGGAAUUUGUUUAUAUUCUGUUGCGCAUCAUAUUCCUUUGUUUUUAACAGGGGUAGCUUCCUUACAAAAAAAAAAGGCAUUCAAUUUUCUUCUAAAGGUGCAAAUUUUGAUUACAUGAACCGAAUACUUAUCUGCACUUUCAGUAAUUCAAUAUAUGAUGCCAUUUUGCAGGGCAACUUCACUCAAAAGCCUUCAUCUCAUCAGAUCCUACGGUUUGUCAAAGGAAGUCUUUGCCAAAGCAAUCAACAAGUUCCCUCUACUUGAGGAGCUCGAGCUUUCAGCAUGUUAUUACGAUGCGGAUUUGAUCGAACUUGUCGCCAGAGUAUGCCCAAGGCUGAAGCACUUUACAUAUGUCGAUACAAGGUGUCAUUGCCAUUAUCCUACUAGCAAUGACAGGGUAGCCUUUGCAAUUGCAACGAUGCACGAGCUACAUUCGUUACAUCUAUUCGGUGAUACACUCAGCAACAAAGGGCUUGCAGCCAUCCUUGACAACUGCCCCUACAUGGAGUACCUUAACGUGCCCUAUUGCCAAAAUAUCAAAAUGGAUGAUGUCAACCUUGUAGAAAAGUGUGCUGGGAUUUACAUGGAUGAUUAUGACUACUUUCUGUUUCUGCGCCCUUCUUUUAGUGAUGAUGAUGAUGAUUUUAGCUUUAUUUUACACUCGGAUUUCUGGGAUGACUAUGUUUUCAAUUCUGGUGAUGAUGUUGAUGACCUUGAACUUGAAGAGGCUGAGAGGGUUCUUGACAACAAGAGCAUGCGUAGAUACUUGAGCUAAUAAAACAGUGUGGAUCUGAAUGUUUUGAUGAAGGUGCUCGAUCGGAUGUUUGCGGCCUUCUCAAGUGAAUGCAAACUUUCUUACUGAUCGCUGGACAGGCUGCUAGCUAGUGUUUUCUUGAGUUCUCCGGUUUGAGGUUUAUCCUUUCUUGAGUUUUAUACUUGGUUGUCCAACUCCUUCGGUUUACUUGAACCGGUUUUGGUGGCAAAGCAGGUGCAUGCCUGCAGUUAGAACAACACAAUGUAACGAAUCCACAUUUGAAGUGCUUCUCUGUUAAGAUGUUGCUCAAUGAGAUAGGUCAAGUGAAGCUUCUCCUGGCAGACAUAUGUUGAGGGUAUACAAGACCAUGUUUGCUUUUCUUUUCUUUUUGCCAUUCUCAUUCUCAUUCUCAUUCUGAGUCAAGAGUUUUUGUUCUAGCGUUCUGAACUUCUGUUUCCCAAAUCAAUGAAUUUGUUGGAAAUUAUUGUAAAAUAAAUUUCGAAAUUUUAGUGCGGACUAAAUAUUCUUUUACCGCAUUUUAACCCCUGUUAUACUGAAGAUCCUGACGCAAUGUUGGUCUAAACGAGCCAGAGGCUUUGUGAUCCUGUAGUCUAUAGGUGGAUGUAACAGACGAUGGAAACAUAUCAGCCUUCCUAGAUUGCUAAAUUUAGUACUCCUCGUAAUAAGUGUCCGGAAUUUAGCCCGAUACCUAAGAUGGAUCAGAGGGAGUACUAACGUGAAAUUUCAUUGAAACCAGAAUGAGAUAUUGAUAAAGUAUAAAUUUGUAUUGUUAUAAACUGAUUUCACUCCGGUCUCAUCCAUGUUUCACAAUAGAAAUGAUCAUUGAUGUCACAAACGAUCGUAUUAAAUGGAUGCGGUAUUAAUAAGAGACAAUAAAAUGGACAGCUGCUCAUAGCGAUGGAACCUCCUGAGCCGUCUCUGAUUCAUCUUUGCGCAUCCGGUUGCCUAGACUCGCCUGACCCGGUCAACGAACAGAUAAAAAAUAAACGUUUCUGAAGGCCACAAAAAAAAUUAUAUAUAUUGUAGCAAUAUAUUAAUGUGGGAAAAGAUCAAAAAGAUUUUUCUGUACUUCAGCAGAUGUUCUAUAAAGCCACGGAGACGACAUUACGCGUAUGCCUAAAGACAGCGCAGGAACAGAGCCUUGCCCUGUGUUGGGCUUCAAAUAAUGGAGGGGAGAACUGCUCUUUGUUUCCUCCUGGUGCUUGUGUUGGUAGCAAAUUGUGUUCAUGCUUGUACGUAUCUUCAUCCCUACACCUUUGUAUGUGUUCUCUGUUUCUAUCUUCCUUCAACUAAUGUUGUUUUAUACCUUGUUGUUUGCAGAUAGCUGCGGGAAGAAGCAAGAUCUGGACACUGCAUGCAUACCUCGGUACGUGAGGCGGUUUUGCGAGAGGGAGUACCCAGGAAAAGUUGUCAGGGAAGCUUACUGUUGGGGCCUUUUCCCCUUUCUCUUUAAAAUCUGCGUCAUGUGUGGCUAGAUGUGACAGUGAAUCAAACUGAUGAAUAAUAACCUAUUUGCCUGAAUAGAAAUAAAUCAGUCUGUGAAGACAUGUGAAAUUGAUUACUGUACUCCGUAUUUUUCUUUUUUGGAUUCUAGCUCAGGGUGGACAUCCGGACCGAGCUUUUCGGCUGGGCCUGAGAUCCCCUAGGCUCGGUGCAGUUCGUGCUCGGCCCGAGUCGAGCCACCCUUUUUAGUCGUGGGAGCUUCGGUCCGAGCCAAGAUAAACCUAGGCCAGCUCAGCUGCCUCAGCAAGCUGAAUUAGCUCAAAGCCCAAUAACCCAUCGUGCAUUUUGGUGCAGACCGCGCUUGACUCGGGCUCGCGGGCCCAGCUCGGUCUGGCCCAGGGGAGGGAAUUACCGCAAUAUUAUCCAGCCGCAGCAGCCAGCCCCGAGCAAGGCAACGGCCAACGGUGUCCACAGCGAGAUUAACGGUGGGUGCUCCUUGAAUAAGUUUUUUUUUUAAAGGGUCUGUCUAUUUACCAGACGCCUGGUUUUUGGAUCCAAAACAGUUGCCUGUUUUCUGUGUUGAAACUAGACGCCUGAAAUUUUGAGAAAAACCAGUCACUUUUGCACCCAAAGUUUCUGUCCUGUGCCUGUUCUUUUUGUUCCAAAACUCUGUGUGCUUCGACUACUGGUCUUUUUUUUUGAGAGAGAGAAGGCUGGCUCAUUUAUUCAAAUAGAGAAGCAUUCACUGUUUACAACAUCCUGGAUGCAGCCAGGGACACAAUGCCAAAAGACAGAAUAAGCAGCGAAGUCACUCGAGUCAGCCAACAUAUGAGCCACCUCAUUAGCACAACGGCUUACAUGAACAAAGAAACAGAAAAUACACAUAGCACUAGAAAUUUGAUGUCAGCAACAAUAGGACCAAUGGAAGAACAAUCUCUACCCGGAGCAUUUACCUUCCAAACUAGGAACAGAUAAUCUGCACCAGAAUAUUGUGGAAAUUCUCUUCUCGAGCUAGAACCAUAGCACAUCGAAGAGCCUGUGCUUCAGCUAAUUCUGCUGAGGUAGUAUCUUCAAAAGACUGACGGCAUGGCAUGAGUCUGUGUCCCAGAUGUUCUCGUACCAUUACACCAAUGUCCGAACUCGAGUUGGCGGAGAAGACUACAACAUCAACAUUAAAGGAAACCUUACCAGCCAGCUGUGGAGUCCACUUCUGAACAACUCUUGGAACUGCACACCUUGGUGGCUGACAAGGCUUCAAAACAUGCUCUUGAAUCAUCUCCUCAUAAGACUGAUUUUUUUCACACUGUAGCUGUACGGCAAGUUAGAGAAAUAGAAUUCUUGUCCUCAUUACGAGCGUCCCAAAUAUGCCAACAUGCAACAGCCACAAGAACAGAUUGAAAAGGGUAGCGAUCAUAAAAAUCUUAAAGAAAACAAUGCCAUAUAGCAGACCGAUAGCAGAAUUCAAAUUUUGUACAAGUACAAUUGGAACAAGGACAUUAGUACAUGCAAUUGCAAAAUUAAGCAUAGUGCAAUUGAAACAGAAACCUUAUGCAAUUGCAAUAAUGAUAUUUUCCAUCCACAAUAAAACAGCUAGAUCAAAGUUUCAUAUCUUAUUUUCAUAAGUUUCAGAUUCUAAAGAAUAAAAUUUGAAUAUCAGAACACAUAAACUUUGUAACAUUCGACUUUCUAACUCUACUUAAGGACCUACCGACAAAACAAAAGUAGAGAAAAAUAACUUAAGCUUGCAAUUCCACUUUGCAAAACUUCUAAUUACUGAAGUAUGAACAAUGCAGCUGAAAUUUAAAUGCAGUGCAAUUCCAUCCACAUUGCUUUUGCCUUGCACUUAUGAAUACAAAAGGUGAGAUUCGCACAAAACAUCUUUUUUUCGAAAAGAAGGGAAGGCCCUGGGCCUCUGUCCGCAGAAAACAUCUGAUAAUGAGAAAAUGAUAAGAAAGGUGCAAGGGAUCAGGUUUUGCUUUCAACAAGAUUGUUAAUUACAACAGUAGAUGUAAUGCAAUAUAUUUUAGAAAGGGGUGCAAUUUAAUUUAAGUGGCAGUGCAAUUGCAAUUUGAUGAAUGAACAAUUGCAGUUCAAUAGAAGACAUCAACUUAAUUUGGAAAAAAACAUAGCAACUUGAACAGAGAACGUAAUGAAUAAAGGGACAAACGUUGAUGUUCUCUUGGUUAUUGAGGCCAUCUAAAUCGACAACUUGCAGCGGGCCUUCAGAUUGGCCAUGAGAUCCUUUUCCCUGCAAAAGCAAAACAAAAUGCUCAAUAGGAUGAAUUCAUAUGCAACUUAUGACAUAAAAGAAGAAGGAAAAAAGAGAGUAUUCCUAGAGGUAGAGAAAUUUAUUUAAACAUGGAUGCAAUUUAAUUUAGAAGUUGGUGCAAUUUAAUUUAAGUGCAGUGCAAUUGCAAUUUGGUGACUAAACAAUUGCAGUGCAAUCCCAAUAAAAAUCGCUGCAAUUGCACUUGUAUGGACUGCAAUUUGCGUAAGCUACAUCCUACAGGUGCAAUAAAAAUAAAAAUUGGAUGCAAUCCCAAUUAAAUUAGCAAAAAUGGCACUUCUAUGGACUGCAAUUUGCUUAAGCUACGGGUAAAUCACUGGACAAACUUGUUUUGUGCAAAUGGAACAAUUACAGGGUUUAAUAACGAAAAUGAUGGCCAAAAGGUUUAGCAAAAUGUUGGGCAAAAAGUGCUAAAUGUGGGGAGUUGCAGCUUGACAGAAGUAGCAACAUGAUUGCAUUGGUUAUAUGGUGCAAGUGCCAUUAAUAUAUCUAGCAAGUGCAAUAUACUCCUACAAAAAAGCUUUGUAAAUGCAAGUUGAUGAGUGAAAGAAAAAUCUGAGACCAUAUAAGAUCUAUAUACAAACAGUUAAGAUUGUGAGCCUUUAGAAAUGUUUAUAGGUUUGAAACUUUGCUUCUACAAAAUGCAGGGAUUAUCCACGGUAUGGUUUACUGAAGUACUCACUUCCACAUAUAAUCAAUUUAAUGCUCGGCAGGGAUAUGAUGAAAAAUGAGAUGAACAACCCAGUGUACACAAAUCUACCGAGGCAUACGAUGAAACAAUAGAGAGAAAUAACCACUGAAAUGAUUUUGGAACAUAACAACCAGCAGCCAUGUGUUUACUUUUAGACGAAAGCAAGAUUUCAACUAUUAAGAAACAAGAAAUUAAUAAGAAAAAGAAGAGAAAAAAAUAACAAUUAAGAAUUUUUCAGAUACAUGUAUCAAUGUAAAUACCAGAUCGCUAAUAUUGUCAAUGAUCAAGUCGGUCUCUGAAUAAUCUUCGGAUGAAUAACCAUCCUGCACUCAACAAAGUAAGAGAUGGACAAAAGGUAUACAAUAAACUUAUUUCAUACACUCACAAAAUCACAGGCCGCGGGUCCACCCGCAUUAGCAGCAGCAUGUUCACCCUCAUCCUCAAAAGGACAGUAAUCAGAGUCUGAAUGCACACUACAAUCAUUCCGGUCAGAUCGAACAUCGCUGCCCCUAUAAACUCCUGAGCAUUGAAUACACAACCUUGAGAAAAAGAUCAAUGAUAAAGACUUAGAAACAACAAGCAGGCAUGAAACCAAAACGGUAAUCGCAAAAUCCCUGAAAAAAAUGGAUACACACCUCAUGACCGAAAUAGCUACAUGCAACUUCAAUAGAAAACAUGAAUCCUAUGCCAAAAUGAUAGUAAUCUGACCGUGAUUUAAACUAGCAAACCACCAUAUAAGCAGAAAAUAAAAAAUAAAAGGAGUUGACUAGCAAACCACUAUUACCACAUAGAUUCAGAGCACAUUGACUUCAGAAAUGCACAACCCCGUAGAAUCAAAAAUCAAAAUCAAGUGGGGGACACCCACUUAUAGUUUAGUCAAAAACGAUUAAAUGAAAAUGGUUGAUUCACCUAGAUUAGAUAAAAUCAAAUGCACAUAUACAAGCAAAAAUGAAUCAAGUACAGUACAGUUAGACUCAGUACUUAGUCCUUGCUGUACAUAAUUUCAGGGGUAAUUUCAUUAUCUAAACACAUUACACAUGCAGAAACGAGGCCAAACAUAUGGAACAACAUCCCCAGGUUCUAAUAGCAGAGCUCAAAAUCGGCCAAAACAACCCAAAACUAAACCAGAUGAAACAACAUACGCAUCGAAGCCUCGAGUGCUCGGCUGCGGGGGAGCAGGAGGGCAGAGAAGCCUCGAGUGCUCAGCGGCAGGGUAGCAGCAAGGGCAUCGACGGCGGAGGCCAGAGAGGCGUACAGGAGGAGCAGGAGGGGCGCAGCUAGUCGCAGCAGGGGCGGCGGUGGCAAGCGCGUGGCGGCGCAACAUAGUAUAAGGGGCUGGGGAUGGCGCAAGGGUGUAGGAGGGGCUGCGGCGACGAGCCCGCAGCAGGGGCGGGGGCGGCAUCGUGCGGCAGAUGAGAAGCUGGGACAGGAGAAUGGGAGAGGGUGACAAGAGAAGGAGAUGCAAAUGGCUGUCCGACCCAAGAGAGAGGAAAAGCCCACGACCAAAUUUCACCGAUAUCAACGUACGAUCCAACGGUGAGAAAAUCGCCUGCUUUCCCAAAAAAAACCAGGCGCCUGGUGUAUAGCAAAAUCGGAAAAAAAAAACACAGUACAAACGCAGAUACUACUUGAACUAGUGUAGUGCCCGUGCGUUGCUACGGAACAAUAAAAUGAAAUAAUGCAAGUGAGAUACAAUUAUCCAUCUACUCCCUCCGUCCAACAAAAGAUGUCUCAAGUUUGUCAAAAUUUAAAUGUAUCUAGACAUGACUUAAUGUCUAGAUAAUAAAACAUGUGUACAGAUAAUAAAAUUCGUCAAAAUUUCAUUUUGAAGACAUGUGUACCAAUCGUGCUUUGUCAACCGACAUAAUAAAACACUCAUUUCUUUCUCUCACAGCUCCUCUGUACAGAUACUAUGCUACGGAGUACUCAUGUUGUGAAAAGGGCGGACCACACCAUUAAUUAGAUGACUCACAGCUCAUCCAUAUGCCAAAACAAAACACAAUUGCCUCAUCAUACAUCUUUAGGCACGAUCAUUAUCAUGUCAAAGUAAUAUUCAUAGAAGUCCUAUAGAUACUAUAAAAUUAAGUAGAGAACAUGCAUGUGUUAUUAAAUUGCCAUCAAGCUUGAAUGGCAAGACGGCACAUAAAAAAUCAUGCACUUUAAUUAGACAAACAUGUAGGAAUACAAGAUUCUACAAGACACAGGACACUUAACACACACAGAGAUCCUGACUCCUUUUCACAACAUGAAGGAACUGGCAACUUCAAAAUAUCUAUGUGCGAGGCAACAAUUGUUUGCAAGAGUAACAGUAAAACUAUACUUGUGUUCAAGCCGUUGAUGGAUGACAUCUUAUGUGCAGCAAUCCUAGGAAACCACAUCUGUAAGACAAAACCAUGUAUAUGGAUCAACAAUGAAAUGCAGGCUGUUUCAACACUUGAUAGCAUGUAAGAAAUUGAAGUGAAGCAUACUGAGCAUGCAGAAAAGCUUAUACCUAAAGCCCAUGGCCAAGGCUGAUGAAGAAGCAUAUUAGAAUAUAGAGACAUUUUAUUAAAAAAAUGAAAGUAAAAAAGUGAAGGAUAGAAGGACUUUAUCCAGCAUGUCAUGGGUUAUAUUUCAGAACCAACUGAAGAAAAAUAGUAAUUCUAUACUCGAUCUGUUUAACUAUCUUGGUCAGCCUACCAUGGCUUGGUACAGAACUCAUGCCAUGCCCCCAUUAAAUAAAUUGAUUUCUAUCAUGUGCCCGUAUAAAUAUACAGUUGUACAAGAGCGAAUAGUAUUACAAUCUAUAGAUGUAUCCAUAGAUUUAAACCAAACAAAUGUAAAAAUAUCAGGCCAGUUAACAUGUCAAACAAAAGCAUGCCUACAGCUUAUAACUGACAGCAAAGAUUUACAAUUUAGACCCAAAAGUCCAAAGAAGUUCCGGUAGUAACUUUUGUUGGCUGAUCAGUGCUACCACAAAAAAUAACAAAUUGAUGCCAGAGGAAGAGAUGCACCAUGCGCGGAUAAAUUUGCUACAGCUGCACUGUAAUAACCAGUCAACUCUAAUGUCCAACAGCAUGGGACCAGGCAAGAUAAUCACGGAAUGAGGUGUGGUCUUCAGGUGCAAUUGACAAAGGAUAUAACCUUGCUCCAUGAAUCAAAGUGGGAGUGGAAUUGUGAAGAACCAAUGUAAGAACUAACUAAUAUAUUAGGUAUGAUUAUUAAGAAUAAUGCUCUGGAUGACAACAAUGGUACUUAUUAACCUUGCUCCCUGAAUUAACACAAGCCUCGUUUUCCUUUUUAACAUAAUAACAUUUCAGAGUGGUAUCCAAUUAUUAGCAAUGUAAUGUCAGAAUUAUUAGAUCACUGAAUUAACCAAACCCUUUUUCCUGUUAACAUAUCAGAAUGAUUUUCAAUUGGCAAUGUGAUGAAAGAAUUAUUUGCACUGUGAUGUUAGCAAAGUUCACAUGUACUGGUCCCUAAUCAAAGUUGUUUCUGCAACACACAUUGUCAUCUCAUGAUACAACUGACAAAAUAUCGCGUGUGUGAUUUCUAAUCUACUGGAUUGCACUGUGCUUUACAAUUUACAGUCUUACCUGAGUCAGCUUCCUCUGCUAUUCUUUCUGUAGAACGGAAGAGGCCCCGUAAAGGGAGCUUGUGGUUCCAAGGAGCACAAUGGAGAGAUAUAUGCAAGAUCAAUUUCCAAGUCACGUUAAUUUAGGUUCUGACAAAGGGAAGAUCAGUAUAUCCGACAGACAUGAUAUGAGAAGGGAAAUGAUACUUUGACUUUAUUAAGACAAGAACGUUCCUGGGAAGAGUGGUGGAGAUGGAGGAAGACCUUCGGCGGCGGAGGAGCAGCGGCUCCGGCGGGGCAGGCGAAAGGCUUCAGUCGCGGCAGAAGAACAGCGAGGAGGAGAUGGGGCGGCGCGCCGAUCUGGAGGGCUGCGGGGAGGCGCGCCGGAUCGGGAGACUGGAUCAGGGCGCAGUUGGAGAGAGGGGCGGCGGUGGAUGCGUCCGCGGCGGGGUAGGGCGCUGGGUCGUUCGCAGGGAGGAGGCGGCGGCGGGGGAAAGACUCGCCUCGUGUUCGAGUCGCGGGGCAGGGACGUGUGCCGCUCCUUCGUUUGCGGUGACCGGCAGGGGGCAGGGGCGGAGGCCGGCGGCUGUGGCGGCUCGAUGAGGAGGAGGGGGGUGAGCAGAGGGAAGAGGGGCGGCGGCACAAAGGGGAGGAGGCUGCGGGCGGAGGAAGGGAGACGGGUGGGGAUUGGAUCGGGCUGAGUUUUUUUCCCUUUCUUUUUUCGGUUGUGACGACUGAGAAGAGACUCGGGGAGGGGGCACUACGCCGUUGGCACGUGGUGGCAUACGCGGUAAUUUGCCAGAAGUAUCGGACGAAAAUCGCGGUAGGAGCUGGUGCCAGGACGGACGAAUGUACUGCCUGCGUCCCAAUAUACGAGGCACGCAUGCAUCUUAAGAUUUCAAAUUUAAUUAUCAAAAUAUAAAUUAUAUUUCAUAAAGAAUAUAUCAUUAGAUUCGUAAUCAAACGAACUUUCUAAUGAUAUAUUUUCUACGUCAUAUAAUUUAUAUUUUGAUAGUUAAAUUGACGAUCUUGGGAUGCGUGCGUGCCUCGUAUAUUAGGACGGAGGUAGUACCAAACUGCAGAUCAAAUUAAGUAGUAUUCCCUCCGGUUUUAUAUUUUCUGCGCGCAUAUUAAUGCGAACCUCGACCACGCAACCUGAGAGGCUCCCAUGCACAGGCGGAUCGCACGCACGAUCUCAACUGCCGCAUGCAGUUGUGCAAGAAAAAAUCUGGACCAUUCAUCAAUGCACCGUGAGCUUGCAUGCAGCAAACUGCCUACGUUUUCUCCACGACAGGUGGGAUUUUUCAGUUAGCAGCCAAAUCGCGUGGAGAUUAGAUAAAUCGCAAAUCACGCUAGCGCGUGGAUGGCAGUUGCGCGCCUUGUAUUCAGGAAAUUGGACGAAAAAAAUGUACGUCUUAUAUAAAAAAACGGAGGGAGGAGUAAAGAUAAGCUUGUUGUUUAUCCAGAUGUCGAAGAUCUGAUGGAUGGGGGAGAAGGAAAGGGCAUGCUGAUCGACGAUUCCCCCGCUUGGAUGAUGUGUGUGGUUUCCAUUUUUAUGUAGCGAAACGGAAGACGCAUAGGCAGUGAAAGAAACAGCAAACAGCGAAACACGUGGAGAAAUAGAAACUGCACGUGGUGCAUGUGCUCCACUUCUAAGAUUACCCGCCAGCAGCCCAGCACACAUGUCGCAGCUGGCUAGUAAAAUCCAGGUGGAAGAUAUGGCAAGCGAUGAGCUGUGGUUGCUUCUUAAGGCUAACACAGCUGGCUAGUAUUAAAAUCCAGCAAACAAUCUUAUCAGCUGGAGAAGAAGCCAACGAAGAGAUAGGGAUGAUAGGCUUGCUUGGUUUUUCUAGAACAAACAUUUUUGGAAUGCCAUAAAGAAAUGCCUUUUGGAGCAAACAUUAAUGUGGGAAAAUUAAAAAAAAAUCUUGCAUGGUAUACUUCAGCAGGAAAUCUCCUAUAAAUUAAGCCACGAAGGUGGCAUUAAGCUAGCGUGUGCCCAGUACCUGUCGACCCUCAAAUCCAAAAGGCGAAUACACAAACAAGAGCGGCUUCUCUGUGUUAAUUUGUUUAACACCCAUGGAGGGAAGAACUACUCUUUGCUUCCUCCUGGUGCUUGCCUUGCUAGGAAAUUGUGUUCAUGCUGGUAUAUACCUACCUUGUGUUUAAUUUCUCCGUUUCUAUAUUUUUACAUGUAAGUUGUGCUAAUAUAUGGUAUGUUGAUGAUAAGUUCUUGUAAUUUGCAGAAACCUGCAGUGAGAAGAGUAAUCUGGACACUGCAUGCAUACCUCAAUACGUGAUGAAUUUCUGCAAGAGGGAAUACCCAGGAAGAAAUGUGAAGAACGCCUACUGUAAAGGCUUCUUCCCGUUUGUCUUUCGCGUCUGUCAAAUCUGUGGCUAGAGUUUUACGGCCCCCGUGACCAGGAGCCAAACUAAUGUAUAACCUAUUUGUGGUACGGUUUGAAUGAAGAUAAAAUCAGUUUGUGAUCCAAGACAUGUGAAAUUGAAUAAAAUUAAAAUCAGUUUGACCAGGAGUCAAACUCAUGUGUUGGUGUUGUGUCAAUGAAUUGGUGAUUGAAUGAUUGCAUUAACGAGUUGGAGAUUGUAUGAUUGUAAUUCUUUUGGUGUAUGCAUGUGUACAUGUGCUUCUCACCCGUGUCGACAACACGGUUCUGCCAGGUCACAGAUGAGGUUUUAAGAUCCGUCAGUAACAUCCUUUUUGGUACAAGUAGUAGUAGUAGUGUAGUACUAGAGUUUUGUUUACCCUAUUUAUUUAUGGCAUGAUAGAUUGAUAAUCAAUCAAAACAAUGCUCGUGAUGAUGAUGAUGAGAAUUGUAUAAGUAAAAUUUGAAUUAUUCUAAUUUCUACUCUGACUCGAAGCUUUAGUAAUUUGGGGAGAGGCCUCCGCCGAAAAGCACCAUACGACUCAUAGUAAUCAGAUGGAUGCACCGUAAUUUAGGGUCGGUUUGUUAAUACUAAUCCGCACAUGUCGCAGCUGGCCAGUAGCCUUUUUUGAGAGGAAGCUGGACAGUAGCCUAGUACUAGUAAAAUCCAGCAAGUAAUAAUCGCAUUGCAUGGAUAUGCACUCACUAGCUAGCUGGCCGGAGAAGAAGACAUCGAACAGAUAGGAAGGUCAUUAAUGUGGUAAAAUUCGCUUGGUAAAAUCGAUCUGUUUGUCGAAGACAUGUGAAAUUGAUCACUAAUAACCUUCCAUCAACCCGAUGAUAAAAAACACAUCUUUACAAGUUUGGAAUUUUAUUUUUUUCCGAAAAGGGGUGACCCAUGGCCUCUGUAUCAUCAGCCGAGUAUAGAUAUUUUUAUUGCAAAGUUUACAAUCACUUUAAUUGAUACAGAGGCCAAGAAAACUUUUUUUUUUUGAAGAAAACAACAUGACUGGUUGCGGCUUCCUCUCCUUUACCGCUCCACAACGCUUCCACUCACAAAUUUCACGCCGUUUGUUCAAUCUUGCAUCCUUUGUCGACCGCUGCAAAUUCCACCCGAUCUCCUUCUAACGUUGUGCACACAUAAUUUUCAAGCAGAAUAGAUUUAGGCUAGCUGAGGGCUGUUCUGAAACAACGAAAUGCAAAUUUGUAGACAUUUUCCCUUUUUAACUGAAGAGGUCAUAAUCUUCAUCAUCGAUUUGCAUCACUAUCAUAGUCUAUUUUUAGAGAGGGGUGCACGGAAGAGAGUCUGGCUCUUCUUUUCACAACGAUGUUUAUGUUUAAACAACUAUGUUACAGCAGGAAGCUCCUUUUGUGUUUAUUGACAUAUAUGUUUAUGCUGUGGUAAUUCUUGAGAUAACUCUGCAAAAUUGCUUGAUAUCUAUGUACAUGUUGUGUUAAUAUGCUGAUGUAAUUUGCAGCCACUAGUGUAGCAGGUCGUGGGUGAAAAAUUUGGGCUUGGGACCACUAGUACAGCUGUGAUAGCCUGUUGGCCUGUUGGGUUUAGGAUAUUGGAAGGGGAGGAACAAUAUAUCAAACGGUCUGGAGCAACAAAGUUAGACAGGCUCAGUUCAGUUAUAGAUAGAAGAACACUUCACAACUGCAAGGUGAUUCAAAUGACAAGUAUAUACAGUCGUAAAAUCAAAUAUAACAUCAAGAGAACUCGUAAGAUUUUGAUUCUGCCAUAAUGUAAUUGCAAAAUAUUCGUAGAACAAAACAACAUACAGAACACAACCAAACAAGAGGAAUGCAAAAUUCUCACCAUCUGCAUCACUCAACCGAACAUACACUGUCUAUCUAGUCUAGCAUGAUAAUGUACAACAAAAGGAUAUGCAUUCUGGAUGUACUUUUUCAUGGCGAUGGCUCUGUUGUCGCUUCAGAUGAUGCGACUGUUGAUGGUUCAGUGAUUGUGAAGGAUCUCAUCGUGGGAGAAUGUGUAUCAUCAGGUCUCUGCUGGUUGUUGACCUUGAUGUCUCCCAUGUCGCUAAUCACGGCGGGCUUCGUGAUCAUAUCUGUGGAGACGCCUUUCUCUCCUGUCAGCAUCAGGACGAUGUUGGUCAUGUUGGGACGGAGUUUCAUUGCGUCUUGAGUACACAGUAGGCCAACCUUCAAGAAUCGGCAUGCCUCCUCGACGUCCAGGUCAUCCUCUAGAUCUGCAUCUAUGAUCUUCUCGAGCUGCCCUUGCUCAUGAUGUCUCCAUGUCUGCAAGAUCACCAGCAGACCUUUCACAUUAUGUCCAACCAAAUGUGCUUCAGACAGCAGAAAAGCAAAACUAACUCCAGUUAUGUACUUAGGAGUAGAUCUUCAGUUUCUUAACUGUAUAUAUUGCAAGUGAAUCUCAUAACCAUGUGUUUCUCGGGAUAUGCUUACACAAAGGUUUGAGAUCUGUGCACAAAACCCUACAAAUGGACCUUUAAAUGACAUUGUAAGUUACUGUCUUCAGAAAGCUUUUAAUAAUUUGGGUGUUACUGGGAUACUGAACAAUCAGCACAGCAGGUAGCGCAAGUACCUUGUCAGGUAACUAAAUACCAGCCAACACCUAAAUGGUAACCUCGUCAUGGAAAGAGAAUCACAGCUGCAAUAUCAAACUGAAGCACAAGUUUAGUGAGUGUAGUAUUCUGGUAGAGCUUACCCUCUCAAGCAGAAAUUGGUCUUCAUAAGGCAAUCUAUUAUUGUGGUUACACCUGCCACUAACAAUUUCCAACAGCAAAACACCGAAACUAUAAAUAUCUGACUUCUUUGUCACUUGUCCUCUGACAGCAUAUUCAGGGGCCAGGUAUCCUCUGAAAGAAGAAAGGAAGGCACUAAGAGAUAAGAAUGACAUUCCAUGUCCAAACAAACUCCUAAAUAAGGUUAUACUUAUACUUACAUUGUUCCUGCAACACGGGUGCUCACAUGAGUUGCAUUUAGAGGAAGGAGCCUUGCCAACCCAAAAUCAGAAAUUUUGGGGGUGAGAUCCUUAUCGAGAAGAAUAUUGCUUGCCUUUAUGUCCCGAUGGAUUAUUGGAGGACGGAUUUCCUCAUGAAGAAAAGCAAGCCCAUGCGCAACCCCUAGAGCAAUUUUAACACGAACUCUCCAAUUGAAUCGAAUGCUGCUAUAACCUUUUCCUGCAAUACCAUAUAACAUACUUAAGUAAGAUAGUAGUAAAGGAUAAUAUGAUCCAUGAAGGACACAGUAGUAGACCGGUAUGUCACCUAGCAGUGUGUGUGCAAGGCUGUUGUUCUCAAGAUAGUUGUACACAAGGAUCCUAUGGGACCCUUCAGCACAGCAACCGACUAAGGUGAUGAGGUUUUCAUGCACAAUAUCAGAAAUUGCCGUGAGUUCAGUAAAGAACUCUCGGAUGCCUUGCUUUGAAGUGGCAGAAAGCACCUUUACCGCAACAAUUGUGCCGUCUUUAAGCCUUCCCUGAUCAAAUGACAUGUCAUUUAAGUAAAGAGUUCAAAGCAAUGAACUUUUUAGAAGUCAUCAAUGACUUGGGCAAAUUACCCUGAAAACAGAACCAAAACCGCCUUCGCCGAUCUUGUUUGCCUCACUAAAAUCAUGUGUAGCUUUUCUGAGCUCAUUAUAAGAAAAGGUUCUCACCUUAUUUCCUCCUGGAACUGCCAGAAAGAAAAUGCAAGUGGGUCAGAAUGAGGCGCCUUUGUAGGUAUAAGUGGUUAACAAACUGGCAAAGACAUCAAAUGCUCACCUUCCUCACCUUCAAUACUUUGUUUAAUGUCCUUUCCACACAUAAAACAACAAGACAUAUUCGUAAACCAAAUUGUGGAAAUAACCAAAGACACAGACUAACUUGAAGCUGAAUUCCUGUGAACAAAGAGCAAUAUCAGUUUUUCAUUCAGCUAAGGAACAAUUAGUCAGUUUAAAUGUACCAAUUAGCCUCAGUUCACAAACCUAUGUAUGUUUAACCAAACAUAUAUCUGUUUACCGGUACCAAUUAACCGAAAUAUAUUAAGUUCACAUAUAUAGUAAGAGACUGGUACUGACUGUACUAGCAUUAUUAAAUUACGGUAGAGUUUAAUUCUGAGUUCAGAAACUAACUAGCCAACUCUCUGCAUUACUAGUUUAUUGCUCUACAGAUUGUCAAGAAAAAAUUACUAAUUGAAACAAGGGUGUGGCCUUUUCUCAGUCGCUUGAUUUUUAAGAAAGAAGCCUUAAAUCAAUAAAUCUCAGUCAUCGAACUAGAACCGUUGGAUUAAGAUCGGAGCGUCAUUUCCACUCCCCCAUCUUCCAUGUGUUGCCGUUGGAUUAAGAUCUAACGGUAAGGUGGUCGACUUAUCUCUAGCUAAAAACAGUCAACUUCUUUAUAGCAAAACCGUUUAAACAAUGUGUCUAGUGGAGUACAUGAAACACAGAACUGUGAAACCAAGAAGGAACAGGACCAGAUCUAGGCCCUGCUUGGAUUGAUGUUGCCACACCCCACCAACACUGCCAACUGAAGUCAGGGUCUCCCCACCGUCCAACCAAAAAGAAGCAAACCUUUUGAUAAUAUACUCCGUAGCUGCUAGCUGGUGUCAUCACAAUUGGCAAAAAAAGUAUGUCUGCCUCCAAGAUAGGGCAGGCAACCCAGCAAACUCACACCAUGUGGGCAGUCCAUCGGAUCCAUAUGAAAGAAUGGUGUAUUCCUAUCUUCAUUAAAGUGAAUACUAUGUGUUUUACUAUUCUUAACACAUUCGUACUGAAAAAACUUCAAACAUUUACCUUAUCAUCGUAAGAACUAACAUUUGCUCCAGGCUAGUACUUGAUUUGCAAAUAAAAAGUAGCCUCUUUUUUUUUUACCAAUAAUAGUUUUUCUACGGGUAGUUGACAAAAUUAGUCAAAUAAUAAACUAAUAAAAAUUCCUGUCCAUUGCAUCUAGUACCAACCGUGCACAUGCAGGGUAUUGUUCCUUUCUGAUAUAGGCGUUACUCAACAGCAUUGACUUAUUCUAGGAUGCAAAAUGGAAGCAAAGAAAGAAUCGAUAUAUAUCUAACAAAAACACAUUCCCUGGAAUCCCAAUCCAACAUGUAUGCAAACAUAUGCUACAUUAAUUAGCGUUUGCCCAACACGUAAAUCGAUCAAAAAAAUUAGCAAAACAUGGCAAAGCAGCACCCGCUCUUGGCCUCAAACCUGCAGAAGCUAUCAAAUCUGGGGUCGAGAACCCAUGAAACGCAAUCCGGAGGGGAAAUGUAUCACACGGGCUCCAGGGGCAGAUCUAGAUGGCGUGCCCCUGAGAGGGGGGGAGUUUCGGGGUGAGAAGCGGAGGGUUUGGGGUGCAGGGAGGAGGGGUUUGGCGUCGAGGCGUCGGCGGUGACAGUGAACUACGCCGUAGGAGAGAUGCCAUGGCCGCAUGCCGCAGUGGGUCGGAUUGGAGGCUAGGGUAGGUCAAGAACAUGAAAUCGCUUCCCAGUGCCCAAGAAAAUAAGCUAACUGGCAUUAUCCAGACCCAAACCCAAGAAGUAGAAAUCACCUGAUGUCGAUCCGCCUGCGUCCUUUCAGGGUCGCCCGGAGCUUGAGAACCGAGUGGCGCCCUUGGGGUGUCCGGGAAGGAACCAGCCGGCGAGGAGACUGAUGGAACAAGAGACGGGGGAUUUGGAAUUGGAGGUGAAAUCUGGAACAUCGACUUGGGAACGGCGAUUCUUUCCUCUCCCACUUUUCCCUCUCUCUACUCUCUAAUCCAUCGUCGGAAAGCCAAAAGCCUUCCUCUUUCAAGCUCAAAAAAACCUCUUUUUAGCUCGCCUGUGGAGUGGAGUAACAAGUUGGUUAAGUAGCUGUCAAAAAAUAAACAAGUUGGUUAAAAUAGGUUUCCUCCCGGCGUGAUUCUGUAAUCAGCGCACGCCCAGAGGCCAGAUCCCCUGGCUUGUAUGUAAAAAAAAUGGGCCAGAUAGAGAACACCAAGAAAACUGGGCCGGUUAGUCGUCGUUCCUGGGCCAAACCCAUAUACGCAUCAAUAACUAGUUACUACGUAGUACGAAGCAACCACUCAUGGAAAAUACAACCCCUCAUGAGUCAUAAAUCAUUUAUCCAGAGAUCCCAUUAUAGUGACGUGUAUUUGUAUAAAAAUUAUCCACGUCGCUUAUUCCGAGACGGAGGAAUCCACGUCACUAUUUUGGGACGGAUUGAGUAUAUUGUACCGCUAUCAUCCUGCCAAAAUAGCAAGCUAGAAGAAGGGUCAUCGGUGGAAGCCGACACAUCAAUGUUGUUGGACCGUUGGUGGAAUCCGAUGCAAUGGUAGGUUCGCCCACAACCACGUCGAGAGCAAGUCCAUGAGAAGCCUAACAUGGUGAUCCAUGGUGUGCUCCUGUUUGCAAGCAGCUUCACGGACGUCCUACCUAGGCCUAUAUGGAGGAGAGAAGAAUAGGAGUUGUGGAGAGAAUAUAAUGAUUGCCCACCCCCCAACAUUGAUGAGGAUUACAUGAUGUGAGAAUUCGUUUGGACGACCAAACUCCUUCCAUAGAAAGAACAAAAUAGGACUUGUUAGAUUAGCGAGUUUACUUUCGCUUUCGAUGUGGUUGAGCAAAGAAUAUUCUUAUCUUUUGAAAUUGGAUUUCUCAACCUGGACUGUGCCCAUGUACCACCCAAAGCCAUGAUACACCACCACCACCUAAUAACGAUAACGUGUCAUUGCCUAUGUUAUCUCUAUCGCCUUUCGACGCCCGACCACAUUCAACUCAACCAAUCUAGUUUUCACCCCUUGACAAUUUUUUCAAGCCAUCAUCCUUCAGCUUAGCAAUUUGAAUAAAGAACAUGUUUUAUCUUUCCUACAUCUCAAACCUCAAUCAUCGUACUAAAGUUCAAAACAAUAAUACGAUUCUUCAAGAAGAGCAUACCCUUGCGCAACAUGCAUCACGAGACAAUAACCGAGUUUUGACAUAGGAAAACCCUCUGCUCAUCUUUGCAAGCUGACACUACGUCCUAUUGAGACGACAAACUUUUAAUGGUUUUUCAAAAAAUAAGUUUACCAUUAUCCUCUGCUCAUCUUUGCAAGUUGACACUACAUCCUAUUGAGACUACAUCCAGGUCAUAAUAAACCUCUGCUCAAAUUUACCAUUAUCCUCUGCUCUUCCCACCUGAGGAGUGGGCCUCGAGCCAAAACCUCUCUACAGUCCAGCCCACGGUAUCGUCUCCUCAGAUGGUCAAACCCUAAAUAAGACCAGCAAUCCACCGUUAUCCCCUCUCGUCUCCGCCUCCGCUCCUCGUCCUCCUCCUCCCGGCAGCAUCACCAUCUUCUUCCUCCGAUCUCCUUCGCUAGCGCCGUCCUCCCGUGCACACUCCCAGACGUCCUCCUCCCCUACCCAUCGAUCCGCCCCCCGCCCGUCGAAUCCGUUCUCUCGCCGUCUUGGUACGUUCCUGUUUCAGUCACCGUCGCGUCCGUCCUCCGUGCUCAUGGGUUCCGCAAGCUCUUCCCUGAAUUCGGCCCUUCCCACUAGGUCAAGCUCGUUUUCCUUCGUCACUGGUGGAUGCGAUGCGUUUGCAAUCGUUGCCGCAAUUCGGCACGGUCUCUUUGGCAGGUUUCACCCCCAAUUCCUCCGCAGGGCGGCACGGUCUCUUGGCAGGUUUCGCCGCCCAAUUCCUCCACAGGGGAAGGAAAAGGAAGCGAGGCUGAAUUUUGAGAUUCAGGCUGCUUCGAAUCCGUAUGUGUUAGGGUUAGGGUCUUGACCUGUGCUGCAAGGCUAGUCUCUAGUUCUUGAGGGCUCUCCUUCCUUCUAAGUUAACCCCCGUCUGUUCAGCUGGUCCUUUCUGUGCUUACUGCUAAGAUCCUACCAAGGCUUUUGACUGAUUUGUAUGCUGCAUGUUGGUGAUCUGUUCAUCAUCUCACAAACAGGUCUUUGGGGAGUUCUGCUUAUUGGUUCCAUCUCGGUUCAUCAGUAAAUGUUGUUCUGGUGGUGCACCUCAACUAGUUUGUCGUGUUCUGCUCACGUGCAUGUUACAGUUAUCCCUGAAUCUUGAUCCUUGUCGCGUUUCGCCUAUUGAUCCUGUCACAUUAAUCACUGAAUCUAGUUCUUUGUCACCGGGUUAGAUAUGGUUCGAUGGUCAUACAGCAAUCACUAUGUCUAGCGAGUUGGGCUUCCGUUCGAUUUUUCUGAUGCCUCAUGACUGCAUGAUCUGUGCCAAUUCACAUGGUUUGCUCUGCGUAUGUUAUUCUCCUAUCUUUUAUUCCACUCAUACGCAUUGGUGAAUUACCAGAAGAUAUCAGCGGUUCCAUAAAAAAGUAUGUCUUGUCCUGUUGGUGCAUCUCGACUAAUUAUUUGUCGUGUUUUGCCUAGUGGGGCCAUCACAUUUAUCCUGGAAUCUAGUUCCUUGUCACGUUUUGCCUACCGUUUCUAUCACAUCCAUCACUGAAUCUAGUUCAUUCUCACCGGGUUGGAUAUCGGUUGACGGUUACACAACAAUUAUCAGCAUGUCAAGAGGGUUGGCCUUCGUCGGAAUUUUCACAUGCCUUGAAACUGUCACGACUUGUGCCAGUUCAUGUGGCUUGCUCUGUGUAUGUUCAAUUUUCCUCUUUUAACUCACCUGCAAUUGUGCAUGGUCAGAAGAUAUAAUUGAUACCUGUAUAAUCAUGUACAUUCAAUUUGAUAUGCUACACUGAUUGGUGUAGCUGGCACAUUUAUGACUUGAUACUGCUCUCUUAUUUCCAUUUUUUUUCUCUGGUUUGAGUGAGGUGAUUAAUGUUUGAUGUAAUUAUGUGAAUAGCUGACUGUGGCUACUUGUUGAGUUUUCCUUUCAUAUAUAACUUUUCUGCUCAGUUUUCUUGAUGAAUGCUGACAGUGAUUCACUAGAAUCCUCACCUCAUUUUAUUUUUUGCUAUCUCACGCACUUACCCUCUUUUUGAGUCUUAUCAUUCUGCGCUGUGAUGCCUGCUUAAUGGAUUAAUUGUAUAUCAUGGAUGUAUUUAAUAUGUAACUGAUGUUUAUUGGUUGAUGGUUUUCCUUUUGUUUGCAACCAUACUUUGCCUGUUCUAUUUCCUUUCAGAACUUAUGCGAUCAUUAGAUAAUAUUUGUUCUUUAAUCAUAUAUUUUUCAUGUGUAGUCAGCUAAACCAUGAGGCAUUCCGGUAAGCGUACCAGCCAACACAGGGAUCAUGACAGAGAAGGGAGGGACGAAAAGAGGAGGCCAGCUGUCCACACCCAGGAAAAUUCCAGUAAUGACGAGUUGGUUGUUUACCGCAUACUCUGUCCAGACAAAGUGAUUGGUAGUGUCAUUGGCAAGAAUGGCAAGGUGAUAAAUUCUAUUCGACAACAGACAAAUGCCAAAGUCAAGGUUGUUGACCCUUACCCUGGUGCUGACAAAAGGGUUAUUUUGGUAUAUUGUCACGUCCAUCAUAGAGAUCUCACCCAUAGGGACAUAGACGUCGAUGAUGAUGAUGAUAGAGAGCCUGUUUGCGCAGCACAAAAUGCAUUACUCAAGGUACAUGAUGCAAUUGUUGAGGCUCUGGCCAUCAAUAGUGACUCUGAUGAUGAGGAAGCCAACAUUCUAGUACCAGCUAGUCAAGCUGCAAGUGUUAUAGGAAAAUCUGGAUCUGUCAUCAAGAGGCUUCGGUCAAUUUCAAAAUCAUCCAUUAAAGUUAGGCCAAAGGAUCCAAGCGAAGUUACACACUCGUGUGCUAUGAGUUUUGAUAAUUUUGUUCAGGUAUUUUUUCUUCCAUAUAAUAAUUUAGUGAACUAUGCCAACAUAAUAUGAGAUAACGAUUACUGAAUAGUUGCAGAUUAUUAAGCAUUAAAUUUCUUGGUUCUCAGCACAUGGUUUUAUAUCACUGUUAUCUCUUUAGCAUGGUGCUGGAAUCAACUAAUUGUUUGAUAGUAUAGUUGUGAUCCUCCUAGCACAAUAGUUCAGAAUUUUAUCCUCCUCACUAAUUGCAGCUUUGUACCUAUGUUUGUCCGUUAAUAACUCCACAUUGUUCUCUGUUUGUGUGGCACACACUUAACUGUGCAUGAUCAACAAUUCCUAUCCGCAACUUGCUUCUUUUGAGUCCAGCCACAUUCUUAAAUAUCCAUUAUUUGUUUCAUAUAUUCUGCUAAUCAUUAUCUUGAAUGUAUCUUAUAUGUAACAGAUAACUGGUGAUGCUAGAGCUGUCAAGAAGGCACUGUUUGCAGUGUCAGCCAUCAUCUACAAAUCUCCAUCAAAAGAGAUCAUUCCCCUUGAAACAUCUGUUCAGGAACUCCCUCCAAGCAUUAUAAUUCCUUCAGAGCUUCCUGUCUAUCCAGCCAGUAACUUCUACUCACUGUCAGAUGGUGCCAUGCCUUCUGGACAUCCAAGUCUACCUAUCUUAGGGGCCCCACAUCAUGUUUCUCGUAUUCCUGAAUUUACUGUGCCUGCUGAUGCUCAUGGACGAUUGCCCAUUUACCAAUCUAUGGUUCCUGCUAUUCCUACUUAUAGCACCCCAAAAGGCUCAGGGGAUCUACUAUUGCGUGUUGUAUGCCCUGGUGACAAGAUUGGGCUGGUUAUUGGUAAAGGUGGGAUGACCAUAAAGAGUAUAAGGAAAGAGAGUGGUGCAAAUAUAGAUGUUGAUGAUGCAAAGAAUGACAGAGAGGAAAGUAUAAUCACCGUUACAUCCACUGAGGUAUGACACUUCCAGCUGUACUUUGUUGCUUAUGCCAUAUAAUAUGUUUUUUACUUGAGGUGACACCUUCUAUUUCAGGCCACUGAUGAUGUUAAGUCUGCAGCAGUGGAAGCUGUUCUGCUGCUUCAAGCCAAGAUAAACGAUGGCAUUGAAGAUAGAAUGCAUAUUCGACUUCUCGUUCCAGGCAAUGUUAUCGGCUGUCUUAUUGGCAAGGGUGGUUCAAUCGUCAAUGACAUGCGUAAUAAGUCUAAAGCAAUUAUCCACAUAUCAAAGGGCAGCAAGCCCCGCAGGGCAUCUUCCAGUGAUGAGCUUGUUGAGGUUUGCCUUUGUGUUAUCCUUUGAGAUAGUCUGUGCGAUUGCCGAUCCAUGUAGGUCCGUGUCUUAACUUUUUAUUGCAUGUAGGUGUUCGGAGAAGUAGACAAGUUGCGUGAUGCUCUUGUUCAGAUAGUUCUGAGACUCCGGGAAGAUGUUCUGAAGGACAGUGUGGAGAGGCAAAAUUCUGACAAGGAUGGGAAGCGAACCAUUGCAAUUACCGAACCCAUGUAUUCAAGCAAUUUUUCGAUGCCUGCAUUAUUACCUUCCACUCGACAAGUCAGUCCAUUGAGCUAUGAUCAAAGGGGUGAAGUUGAGCGAGGUUUGGAUGUAUACCCUCGUAGCAGUUCGUAUAGAUACAGCUCCUUGCAGGUGCAAUAUACUUCUCUUUUUUAUCUUCAUAAUGAGACAUACAAGUUUUUGGUAUCAACUUAGGGGGUGUUUGUUUAGAGGCUUAACUUGGUGGCUUCUGAUUUCUGGCUUAUAAGCCAAAAGGCACCUAUUUGUGUGAUUUUGGCUUUGGCUUUUGGCUUGUGCCAUCAUGUAACAAUAUCCUGUCAAAAGCCAAAAAGACAAAGCCAAAUCCAAAAGCACAUAAAAGGUGUCUUUUAGCUUACAAGCCAAAAACCAAAUGCCAAAAGUUAAGCGUAACCAAACACCCCCUUAACCAGUUAUAUCUUCCACCAGGCUGUAGAUGAUGGCUAUGGAGCACAUUCCUCGUAUACAUCGAAGUCAUAUGGAGGGUAUGUUGCAACUGAACUAACCAUAAACCCUUUCUCAACUAGUGCUCCUUAGUCCUUCGAUGCAGGAAGUCCUUGAUUUGUAGUUACUACUUGGUGUCUGUUUGCAUCCUUACCAUUAUAAUUUUUUUGCUGAUUACCAUUGGCCAGACGACGCCCGGAUAUUGAAAUGAUUAUUCCUGCUAGUGGCCUGUCGAAAGUAAUCGGGAAGCGUGGCACAAACUUGGACAAUAUUAGAAAGGUCAGCUAUUUCAUAUUGCUGGUGUCUUACACUUUGAAUUAACAUAGCUAUGAUGUGAGUUCAACAUGUACUGAAGGUGCAUAAAUGAGAUUCAGGUAGAUAUAGGAUUUUUUUUAUAAAUAAAACCAAAAUUGGCUACCUUGAAACCCCUCCAGUGAUUAUGGGGUGCUAUUUGCUAUACCCUGUAAUAUUAAAUCCUAUAGUUAAUGCUCCCUCUGCUUUGCAAUAUCUCUACCCCAUUUGCACGCUUGGGAGGCAAAAAGGUUGAGUGCUACCUGGGUGGAAUUUAUCAUUCUUGCUUUCAUGAGAUUGAUGUAUACUAAUCUAUCAAGUGGGAGCAAGUAUGGUAUGGUUCCAUCAAAUAUCACUUCAAUGUUGUUCCGCCAGGUAUCUACACCGACCAUGCGGGGUUGAUAUCGUGAAACUGUGGUAGUCUGUAGAAGAAUACGCUACCUUAUAUUUGAUCAUUUGACUCUUCUCAUGAUUUUUUAAAAAGGUUACCCUUGGUUAGGAUGCAAUGUAUUAUGUGUAUGCAAUACUAAGACAGAAUUGUUCUAAAGUAACCUUUGUUGAGAAUGUAAUAUUAGCAGGAUUAACAUGGAUGAACAUAUGGGGAAAAGUAUCAGUUAUUAUCUGGCAUCUUCAGUGGUCAAUUUUUAGAUACGUUUCAUUAACAUUGACAUGCAAUUCUCGGGUAUUAUUGCAGAUUUCUGGAGCUGACAUUGAAAUUAUUGAGUCAAAAUCAUCUCGUCAUGACCAUGUUGCUCAUAUAUCUGGCACCCCUGAGCAAAGGCAGUCGGCAGAGAAUUUGAUCAGAGCUUUCAUAAUGUCUACUUAAGGUUCUGGUUGUAGUUCGAAGGAAAGGAUAUAGCUGUGCGCCCAGUCUGUGCUAUUAUUAGACUUCUCCCAGAAAAUAACUUAUCCCAUCCCGUAAUUUCCUUAGCUUGGGAAAGUACAUGAAAAACAGUGUUUUGUGUCCCUGAAGUCUCCAAUGAACCUCAUACUUAUCUGGGGAAAGACAAGUCGCUCUUUAGGUUCUCAACCAUGGCUUAUUUGCUGUUGACUUGUUCGUGUUAUUUGGCAUGUUCUGACAUUCCUGCAAAUCUCAAUGACUGGUUCCUCUGCUUAGUACAUGUUAUUUCAUAGCUGAUUAUUUGUCAUAUCAGCAAUAAUAGCUGAUUCCUACGCUGAUUCCUUGUCCUAUCAGCGAUAAUAGCUGAUUCCUGCUGGUCUGACAGGGAGCCCUUUUUCUACUAUGGUUCCUCUGCUUGGUAUAGGUUAUUUCAUACUUCAGCUGAUUCUUUGUCCUAUCAGCGAUAAUAGCUGAUUCUUUCUGGUCUGAUAGGAAGCCCUUUUUCUACUAAUCUAUGAUAGUCUUGAAUCACAACAUGCAUUUUAGUGUUUUGCAUGGUGUCAAGAUCAUCUUCGAGACAUCCAAUGUUUAAUCUAACACUUCAACUCGGUCUGGCUCUGCACUGCCCUGUUUUAUCAUCUUCUCCAGGUUCUUUUUUCUCUGAUAUGGUUACUAUUUUUGACAAUUCAUCAACUGUGUGUAUAUAGUAGGAAGCUAGAUAGGGUGGUAGUCGUAGCAACCCCUUGUACAGGUAUGCAUAGGCGAUGCAGUUGAUUGGAGGGAAAGGUUAUUCGAACCUGCAGUUGCUACUGGUGAAAUGACAUUAGCUGAGUUCUUCCCCUUGUAAAUAGACUAACAUGAGAUGCUAAAAUUUUGUAGCAAUCAGCUGAUUAUUUGCCCCCCAGUUUCCUCUUGUUAAUCAAGUGUUCUGUGCUGAGUGGCUUACCAUUAACCGUUCUCUUAUUCAUGACAUAUCGCACAAAUUUUCGUCAGUAAAACGUUGCGUUGUGGCCCAGCUAAAUAGCUAAUCCCCCUACACUUAGCUACUCUUUGGAUAAUAAGAUUUUGUAAGGAAAAAUAGAGGAUUUCAAUACUAAGGAAUAAUUCUUCUAGAUGACAUUUGGAUCGUAGGACUUGCUCCAAAGGAAUUUCAUAGCCAAAGUAAUUUCAUAGGAUAGGAUUUUUUUUCUCCAAAUUUUGGAGGAAUCCAAGCAUGAGGUUGAAAAUUUCCUUUGAAAGUUUUGAUGCAUCUUCUCUCUAUCUCUCUCCUCUCUUCCUUCGUCUAGUUUCAAAAUUACUAUUCCUCAAUCUAACAAAGGAUGUCUCAACUUUGACUAAAUUUGAAUGCAUUUAUACACUAAAUCAUGUGUAGAUACAUCCAAAUUUUGAUAAACUUCAGACAUUUUUUGCUGGACGGAGGGGAAUAUGUUUAUUCAAACUCUUUUUUUUUAACAAUUUUUAUGUUUUGAAUUCCCUAUAGUAUUCAAAAUGCCAUGGCAUUCCAAUCCUAGGUUUUCUCUAUCCCUAUGAUUUUUGCAAUCUUACAAUCCAAAGAGGUGCCCUAAGCUGGUACUCACAGUUUGUCUCUAUGCUUGCCAUAAAACCAUUCGUUGGAGUAGUAGUAAAAGGACAAAGUACUCCAACGCGCUUCGCUUUCGGUUCCCUUUUGUGUACCUAGCAUUCGAUUUUAGAUGGUACUGUACGUACUCAAGUUAAAACGCUAGCCACAUCUUAUUUGGGGCCUAGCCACGUCGUGUGGUUUUUUUUCAAGCUCUUCGAGCAAGGUGUGCAUCAUUUACCCGCAAAAAAAGAAGCAUUUUAAUUUGCUGGGUGAGAAAAUUCUACCACGCGAGUGCACGGCCGACCGAGGGAUCCCGAGAGGAUAACGUAGCGGCAGCGGGCCACACGGGCGCCGCCACGUGGCGCAGUGUCUGGCCACAUCGGCGUUAUCUCAUCGGAGGGUGGACGGAGUAUAUUGGCCAGUGGCUGGAGUACCCCCCGCGCGCCAUUGUUCAGAGUUCUUGUCCAAGUGAAGUGAGCACCACUGCUGCAGAGAGAGAGAUCGAGAUGGCAGCGUCCAUGAUCACGUCGCCUCUGGUGGCGCCGACGAGCCUGCCGUCGCUGUCGCGGCGGGGCUCCAACUUCGCCGUCGUCUGCAGCGGCGGCAAGAAGAUCAAGGUCGACAAGCCCCUCGGUGAGAGCUAUAUACCCAGCCAGGCUUCCCGUGACAUCUUUGUUUAAUACUCCCUCAGUCCAUUCAAAUUUAACCAAAUAUGAAUGCAUUUACGUCUAAAAAAUGCUAGAUACAUCUAACAAUUUUGUCCAAAUAUGAUUGUAUUUACGUCUAAAAAAUGGUUAAAUACAUCUAAUAGAAAGUUACUUAAUAUGGGACGGAGGGAAUACUCUCUUCGAUCCUAAAUUGUUUUCAUUAUUUUAGUUCAACGGGGGAGUAUUAAUCAAUCCGAUGUGAAUUCAUUCUUGGUUUGGUUUGGUUUUAUUAAUCAUCCAAUGAGACUAAUUGUUUGUUUUUGUGCAGGGAUCGGAGGUGGCUUGACGGUGGACAUCGACGCCAACGGCAGGAAGGGCACGGUUAGAUUGAUGCUUCCCAAACACUUCCUCUCUUUUUUCUUGUUACACGUACACCUGCACAUGUACUGUGUGUGCGAGUUCACUAUACAGACAAACUAGCUAGCUAGAAACAAAUAGAUUUUGUGGAUAGUUUGCAAGUUCGCAUAUUACUACUUCAAAUAUACACGAUUUUGAACAAGCGGUCAGUGAAUUGGUCUGACCGUAAAAUCUUCUUCUCUUCAUGCAGGGAAAGGGUGUGUACCAGUUUGUUGACAAGUACGGCGCCAACGUCGACGGCUACAGGUAAACUAUAUACGUACUCCUGAGAUGUAUAUGAGCCAGAUCCGGAUUUUUUUUUUGAGAAUAAGAGCCAGAUCCGGAUGAAAGAUUAGUACGGAGUACUUAAUUUGGCCCAUCCUUAGUAAUCUUGUGGCCCAUUUGCAGCCCGAUCUACACGCCGGAGGUAUGGUCCGAAUCUGGCGACCGCUACGCCGGUGGUGAGUAAUUUCACAUUACCCUCCACAUGCCUAUAUAUAAGUAGAAUUAUGGAUUCGCUCAAAAAAAAGUAGAAUUAUGGAUUAAAAUGCAUGUGUUUAAACGUUGUUUGUUUAAGAGCAUCAUCAGCAGCUUGUGUGAAUUCGGUUGUCUAUAUCUCAAUAUAGACAAUGGUCUAAAAAGAUUCUCUUUUAAAAUGUUACAAUCCUUCAGCAGCUUGUCUAUAUGCAAGUCGUUUAUAUUCUCUUUACUAUCUUCAUACCUAGUGGGCAUUUGGACAUCGUGACUGGAUCGUCUAUAUACAAAAAUUGUGGACAGAAAUUUGGACGAUGUCUAAAUUUAGACGAGCACGUAGACAAGCUGUUGGAGCCUUACUUUGUACUUUGGUCGUCUAAAUGGCACAUAGACAACCAUAUACACAGGCUGCUGAGGAUACUCUUAGGCUCAGUUUGAAGUUGCUAAACUGUCAUGUGCUGAAUUUAUUUUUGUAACUUGUACACACAAAACUAAGAAAAAGUUUGUUAACCAAACUGAAUUAUUUUGUGAUUGCCUUAAGAGUUGGAAACUCUUGCUCGCAAGAAAACAGUACUACCUCUAAUACUAAAUUCUUGUCGUUAUUUUAGUGCAAAUUUAAACUAAACCAACGACAAAAAUUUAGGAUCGGAGGGAGUACUAUUCGGAGAUACCUAUGAAGUAGUAGCAGAGGAUGCAUGAGAGUAACAAGGGCUUCAUUAGCACCUGAUAUUUAUUUGUUUUACCGUACAUAUCUUAAAAUAGUGUACAACUUUACAAAGUGACGUACAGAAUAUAACAAGGGGUUUCCCAAAACUUAUCAUGAUUCCUUAGAACAAGAAGAUUAGCGCUAUUGGAAUAAGAUACACAGAAAAAUUAAGAUUACACCUUUGGAUUAGUAGAUCAUUUAAAAUAAAAACUCUAGUUCAAAUUCAGUGUAUCGAUCCAAACAAUUAAGUCUUACUCCCUCUGUUCCUGAAUUCCUGAUUCAAAUUUGUCCAAAUAUGGAUAUGCAUCUUUUCUUAAAAAACGUCUAUAUACAUGUAAUAUUUCGACAACAAUUUAGAAUCGGAGGGAGUACGUGGCAACUGAAAUGAGCUACCAUAAAUUAGGGUUUUUAUGAUAUCCGGGUGGACAUGCACCUUUGGAAUUAUUUGUCGAAUAUAUAUGUUGCAUUGCUAACUCGAUCUUGCAUGUCCGUGUUAUAAUUCGCAGGGACGACGGGGCUCCUGAUCUGGGCCGUCACCCUGGCCGGCCUCCUCGGCGGCGGCGCCCUCCUCGUCUACAACACCAGCGCUCUCGCCGGCUAAUUAAGAAUCAAGUCAUCUCAUUCUCAUCUAUGCAAUUGCAAACACAACACAGGGCCGGGUAUCUCUCUGCAUGUACGUAUGCCUGUAAUGUACGUAGCUACCUGCUGUGAAAUGUACGUAUGUGAUCGAUGAUGCCAAGUACUUGAUCGAAACGCAUCGCUUAAUUUUAUGUAUGUAUAACACUUGCUACUACGUACACACUUCCUACUUUGGGAUUAUCAUUGAUGCAAACAUACUUUUUUUUUGCUAGAAAACAUAUACUUUAAUUAGACUAUAAGUUUGGCC